UUUUUUUUUUUUUUUUUUUUUUUGUGUGGAGCCUAGCUCCAAGAAAAGAGUACUUUUUUUGAGGAACUAACCAUCCAUGGUAAGGGACAAGAAUAGAUGAAUGCAGGAUGUGUCCCACAAAACCGUUUAACGUUGGGUUGUUGGAAAAACUCCCAUGCCCGCUGCAGUUCCAAGAAAUUGGAGAUUUGAUUUAAUUAUCGCAGACCAAAACAAAGAAAAGAAAAGAAAAGGAAAAAUGGUGGUGAUCAACUGGUGGGUGAAGAGAUUGCAGUAGUUACCAAUCAUGGCCAAGAACAAAGAUUGCCCAAAACAUUGUUCCCUGAGCAGCCCAAUAAACUGGCCAAACCAUCCAAUUGUCGAAGUGAAGUGCCAGUGCUAUUAAUCCAACCACUACAACAAGGUCUCGAGCAACAUAACUCAGAGACCUCCAUGGAUUCUUUACCCAGCAAUGCUCAGGAAUGGCCGCUCGAAUGUCAGCAAUCUUAAAAGGAGGCGGUGCGCUUGGAUCAAAAUCAACUUCAUCCAUGUCUUUGCUAAUGAUACCGCUGCUGCUGUUCACCGGUCUCUCUGUCUCCUCGCACUCUCCCACCAAUGCCCUACCAGGUUUAGUAUUUUCAACUUGGCCCUUCUUGUCUGCCGAAAGCGGCGAAAGGGAGUGACCCAAAUCUGUAAAAAGGUCGGUGAGCAAGAAAACCAACUUGAGAAGCAAAAAAGAGAUUCUUGAAAGGGAAUCAACCACUUUCUGCUCAAGUAUGAAUCUUGAUUUUUUUUUUUUUUUUUUUAAAAAGGGUUCAAAUAUUUUAGACUCUAGCACGACUACCAAGGGGGGGUGGGUUGGGGUGGGGAUGGCAUUCUGACUUUGCCGUACAUGCUGUGGAUCUUAUGCACAGAGAGCAUCGGCAACAGCAAAUGCCAGUUGGGUUCAUUUUCAAGUGUGAGGAACUUGCUGCAACAAAUAUAUGUUAGUCAUUACUCGUACUAUUGUCUGUCGCCCAAAAAUUUAAAGGCAUUUUCACGCGGGUAUCUCCAAGUAUAAAAUACUAGUAUAUGGUAGAGCAUCUCGUUUCGCAGGACCUUACUUCUCCUUUUUCUAGGUUUGUACAUAUCAUUUUUUUUUUUUGGGGAUUUGAUUUUACUAAAUCUCUUAAUGAACAGAGAUUCUUUAUACAUUAGCUAGCUACCUACGACAUGUAUUCUAUUCCAAUGCACUAGCACUAUUACAGUAGUAUUACUAUUCACUACUGCUGGUGGGAUUACCGCAUAAUAAUCUCAAAGCAUCCCCUCCCCUAUUUCGCCCAAGUUGUUUUGGAACCGAAUCUGAAUAGUGGACGGAGAGACAAUAAUAUGUGACAAGGGGGCAGAUCGUUUUCAGUCCGUUGUUGGAUUCUGAUUUAUACAAAAUUAAUUAAACUUGUAGUACUGCUUGUGGUUGAAUUUGUAAGUUUUUUUGGGGCCAUGAUGCUAGGAAGACUGAAAGAGCACAGCAAAGUACGCUCACGCACUUAGCACCGAAAACUGAAGUUUGUUACAUCCUAUCCUAUAGUGUGAGCGCAUAUAAUUUUAGCGGACUCCAAUCUCCCAUGUUGACAGAAAGCGAAAGGUGCAAUAUGGUGGUGCCCCAUGCAAAAGACAUGGGGGAAAAAGGAAAAUUCUCUUACGAAAGGCAGUUUUUUUCUGUUACAAUGAUGAAGAAUUCCACUUUCUGGACAGACUCAGCACAUAAACAUAUUGGAAUCUUAAUUUUAGAAAGUAAUAGUACAUAAAAUGGAAACAGGACAGGUACAAUUAACCUUAAUUUUGUUAUGAUUUGCUGUACAUUCACGUAACUUACUUUGUUUUAUUUUAUGGUUUGAGUACAAUAAAGUUAUUUAAAUGCACAACAAAUUAUGAAAAAUGUACGACAAGCUUAUCAAUUGUACCUAAGAUCAACGAUACCUGUUCAAAUCAUCAAAUCAACCAUGGUUAACCAUAUGCUUGAAAUAUAGAAAUCCUCCACCGAAUUUAACAGGAAAGACGGAGAGAAAAAGCUAAGGAGAAUUCUAGAAUAAUAUGCUUCUUACCAGAUUGGAAAUAUUUCUUAAGAAACACGGAGAGAUCGAUGUGCUCUUUGUUCAUCACAAACCAUUCAUGAUUUUAGGCAACUUUUCGCGGAAAUAGAAAGUUAGAGAGCUAAGCAUAUGCAUGACAUGAAUGUGGUUGGUUGAUAUUUUACCUUGACACAUGUCGGCGGAAGAGAGCACCAGCCGCUGAGGGUCAAGGAGAAGGGGGAAGAGGGAGGGAGAUUGAACGCUUAUUCCUGGAUCAGCCAAGCCGGAGAAGGACAAACGAAUUUGUGUCUGUUUCUCGGGGUGUCAGCCAUGCAGGGAUCCUCAAAUUUAUAAGGCCAAAAAAGUAUCGAUGGCCCUCGGAAUAAAAACGGUAAGAGCAUUAUACACGCCAGGAAUGUGUGAAAUUUGCUUUGCAGCUAUACGCUAGUGACAUGGACGAUGUGUGCCCGUCGAACUCGGCCCUCCGUGUUGUCUCUCGUGGGGUUGUGCUUCUCCAGCCACUCCCACCAUCGGUUUACUUCUACAAUUUGGGUACUCUCUCUCCAUUUCCUUUUUGGGAAAUUUCCGAACGAUUUUUGCCUUUCCCCCCUCUCUACCCCUCUCUCUCUAUAACGCAUUUUUUUUUUUUUGGUAACAAGUUUGCUCCCGGAUGGAUUAUCGACCUUAAUUGUGAACACUAAAUUCCACAUUGCAAGGGAUAUGAAAAUACUCCCAUCCAAUCUCUACUUUUGUUUGUAUCCCUAUUCAUAUUCUUACUAAGUCAGCUUCGAAAUUAAUACCAGUGGUGUUUCCGGGCGGCGCUGGAUUUCUUUUAGAAAUUAAUACCAGUGGUAUUCAAAGAUUUCAAUGUUUAUUCUCCCCUAAAACAGUACUAGUAUUUUUAUUUAUUUAUUUCUUGGUUCUGAAUCAAAAUUUUAAUUUUAUGUGUUGUUGUGCUCGUGCUGGUGGAGCUCCGCGACAAGGACCCGAAUCAAUAGUUGUUAAACUCAAGCUGGAUUUUCUUUUCUUUUUUUUUUUAAAAAAAAUUUCCUUGGUUAUGCGCGUAUCUCAUUUUCUUCAAUUUAAACAUGCUACAAUGAACUGUACACAAAUAUGGGCCUUUGAAGCGACGGCCGGACUGAAGCCAUUAGGUCAAAAUUGCGUACUAGAGUUAACUACUAGUAUUAGAACAGUGUGCUAACUGGAAAAUUUUAGUUUGAGGGGGUGAAAUACACACACAUAUAUGCAUAUAUAUAUAUAUUAUAUAUAUUAUAUAAUAUAUAUAUAUUUGGAGUCUAACAUAAAUUUUUUUUGAAAAGUUUUGGAGACAAAUAGCUCAAUAUGUAUUUUGAAAAUUCUCAAACUUUUAAGAACUUUGAAAAUUUUCAAAAUUUGAUAGAGACAAAGGAUGAAUUUUCAGAAUUUGACAGGAUAAGUACGAUAAGUAUUACGAUUUUUAAAGAUAUUAUGAACUAGCCCACAAAAAUAUGGCAGAUAAAACUCACAUAUAAUAAAAUUUCAACCCACAAUCCUACACAUAGUGCUCUCACUAUUAACAUUUCAUGAAUUAUAAGUCUUGAAUUCAAGUGUUCGUAUAUGUUAAUUUUUUCUCCCGCUAUUUGUGAAUCAAUUUAUAUUAAUUAAUUAAAUUUCUUCUACAUUUAUACGUAAUAAACGCGAGAUCGACGCCGAAUUUAAUUUAGAAUUGGGAAGCGGCAGUCUGGCGGAGAGGAUCUCAACUUUGUGGUCCACAAGACAAGGGCGGGCCUCAAAGGUUCAGCCACGCAUUUCGCUCUCGGGCUUUUACAGCUUAGGAAAUUGCGUAGGCGUUCUGACUUGUGUGAGGUGGGUUUGUCAGUAGUUUCAAGUUGAGCGUUAAGAGCCACGUCUCACGAAGCGAGAAGAGCCAGAUUUCAUAAUUCGAAGUACGAUUUCAUAAUUCAGUCACAAUGCAUACAUUAUUAUUAGCUUAAAAUAAAUAUUAUAUUAUUUUAAAGAUGAAUUUCAAUUUUAAAUUUUACAUAUAUGAUAGAUGUGUAUCCAAAUUCGCUGAAAAAAUUAACCUUAAAGUUUGAAAAAUUAACCAUAACGUUUAUGAUUCAUUUUCUACGGGGUAAUUGCAAGUUUGUAUUUAAAAAAAUAGGAAAACAUUUUACAUUCAUUAAACUAGGGGGGUAAUCUUGAUCAAAAAACAGUUUUUUUUUUUUUUAGAUGAAAACAAAUUUCAUUGAUAGAUUGUUGGAAAUCAUGCAGCAAUAAAAUAAGGAAAAAAAAACACAAAAUCUCUGUAGAAAUCCCUAGAAAAACAGAAAUUUCUCACUAAAAAUCUCUAGGAAAAACAACCAAAAACUCUCACCAAAAAAAAAAAAGAAUUUCGUAAUUAAUAUGCGGGCAAGGUGAUUUAGUCGCAAUUACUCUUUGCGUAGACAAAAAAAAAAAAAAAAAAGGGCAAUUUAUGGCACGAUAUCAAUUGCACAACUGUAAUUGGUUUACUGGUCUAAAAAAUCAUACAACGGACAAUUAAAGUAAAAUAUUGAAAGCUAUUUAAAAAAGAGAGAGAAGAAGAAGAAAAAGUGAUACUUGAUUUAUAUUUAUUUCUGAAAAUUUAAUGCCCUUCUUAAUUUGCCAAACAAAACAGAAAAGAUCACCACCUCUCGUCUAACAUGAGCACAAGUUCAAUUAAUUCUCUUCUGAUGCCAAUAAAGUGUGGAAUGGUACCUUCAAUCCCACAAGGCUCAAAUUAGAUAUUUAAUACUCCAUACAGCAAAUAUAAUUUACGUUGCAGAAGAGAAACUCAAUUGGUUCAACGUAAUGGCUGCUCCAGAAGCAAAUAUCAAAAGUCUAUGAUCCCAAAAUCAAACGCUUUGACAUUUGUUUUAGGACCAUUUCCAAUUGCUAACGACGUUAUAAGACUGUUUCCCAAGUUUUAACCCGCCGUUGAAAUGGAAUUCUGGGGUAAUUCUUAACUCCAGUCAAUAGACAAAUUUGAGUUGAUCCUACUCGACAAUUUCUUCACAAGUCUUAGAAAGUGCGAAAUCCCAUACUAUCUAGACUUAGUUCCGAUGAUUUACCAAAAAAAAAAAAAAAUUCUAAACAACCUUCAGUCCAACAACCUCGAUGAUCAUGACUCCUUUGUAUCUUCUUCUUUGUAAAAAAAAUCAUGCGAUUGUAUCAUAAAUAUUUUUGAAUUAAUUUUUUACAUACGGAUAAUAUAUACGCUGUUGGUGUUCGAUGAAUAAUAACCAUACAAAAUUUAAAUUUGAAAUUUAACUUUUGCACACGUAUCAUGAAUUCAACAAUGAUAAUAUAUACACUGUAAGCGUAUAUAAAGUCUACUCAAUAAUUUCUAAUCACUAUUUUAUUAUUUCAACCACUUUAUCAUAUCACAUAAAUAUCACGUCACAAAAAUAUUAUAUAGUAUUAUUUUAAAAGUUUUUUUUUUCUAAAUAAUCCCCUAUGCGCGCGCGCACACACAUUCCACGGUCGAAAUAUGAAUAGUAAUUGCAGAAGCAGCAAAUUGUGCGGAAUCAGCCCAGAAUGAGGAUUGGAAAGCCAAAUGAAAAAUGUUUAAGCAUCCCCUUUGUACGGUAGCCCCAAGGCUCAUACGGUUCUAAUUCUAAAAUACGCUCCGGGAAGAAAGGGGAAGGAGAAAGAGGGUGGACACAAUAAAUUCAAUUCAAUGGUUGAGUGGAGCCAAUAUGAAUUAGGUGGUUGGUCCAAUUAAUACAAGUAAUGAGGAAACUGAUUUGUACUGGAGACGAUGUAUUAUAAUAAAACCUUUGGAGCAUUUACUGGGAGAUGGAUCGCAAAUCGACGGCCGCAAUCAGCCUUUAAUUAGCUGUACGGGGAUCGGCUUAAAACCUUAAAUGUUUGGUUCCCAUGAAAAAGUGCAGGACAGGACAGUGUGUCGUUAAUGUUGUUUGUCCUACCAUCAUUUUGUGAGUGAAGUCACACCGAAGUACCGUCCUUGUGAUGCACUGUAUCUUGCGGGUUACUAUAUAGUACAUCCGCUUGAAUUUCACUUUUUUUUUUUUUUUUUUUCCAUUCUAAAUCCGCACCUUCAAUACAUUGGUUACUUAUACAAUUAGCAUUGAAAGUACGUUGUAUGGAUCUAACCGCUACCCUAAUAUUAAGUUGUGUUUUACUGCUCAGUUAACCCGAUUUCUUAUAAUAGUACAUGAUUUGAUUAAAAACUCGAUGAACCUCGAGUCUAGAUUUUACUUGAUUAUUCACCAAGUAAUCAGGAGCUUCUGUUGAGUUGAAUUUGUUUAAAACCCACAAGUAUAUAAUAAAUUUUUUCAACUUUAUAGUUUCGAAAGAGAUAAUGAGUAAAUACUGCAUAAAAAAGCUUGACACCAAAAUAAAUCCUUAGAAUAAUUUAAUUGUUGAGAAACGACAUGGUAAAUGCAUAUAAGAAGUUCAUGGCCUUGAACGUUGUAGUUCAUGAUGGAAAAGAAAUUUGUUCCAGUAGUAUUCGAGUAUGCUUAGCUUAAUAACUCUUUGAAUCAGUUUAAAUUUUACAAAAUUAGCAUGCGUUUGUACCUUGUGCAAACACACGCACAUUAUUAUUGUUUAUUAAUAUACUUGGACUUCACCUAACAAGUGCUCCUGAGUACUCACACCAGACAAGUAGCAGCAAUGUUUCUCAACCAAAAAAAAAUAUAUAUAUAUAUAUAUAUAUAGUGAAUCAUGCAGUUGACCGGUUUUUAAGUCUAGAUCCACAUUAUAAAAAAAUAAAAAAGGGUCUAGAUCCACUGAACUAUACAAAUCAGAGACAAUUAAAUAUGAAAUAUCAUAUUUAACAAUUACAUAUUAUAUAGAAUCAUGUUUCAGAUGGUUUAACACUCCCAAACUAGUAAUGAAUCAUGCUCUUCUUCCUUUCCCUGCCGAAUAGGUCGACCGAGAAAAAAAAAGAAGAAAAAAUAUAUUCGAAGACAUGAUUCGCAACUCAUCAACCCUCGUCGUCUUCUGCAGAAACCCUUCUCCUUCACUCCCUUCUUGCUUUUAUCUCUGACAUCAUCUCGACAGCGACAGAGGCCGGAUUCGAAAUCGACAUGGUGGCCUGCUUACAUCGUGCACAAAGGCAACGACUAUUUGCUGCUGGCAUUGUGCACCAACAACCUUGACUCUUGAGGGCGAAUAAUCUCAACCACCAUACCUUCAAAUGCUACUAGACCUGCCAUAAUCCAUUAACUGUGCAACUACCCUAGUUUAUCCCCAACAUCAUACAUACAAAAUUCAGUCUCUCUAUUUUGCUAUAAAUUUGCUUCUAUCACUACACAACUGUUUAAAGAAUAUGUAAGAUGAUUUGUUCUUUUCCAUUUUUUUGAAAACCGGUGUGUGUGUGUAGGAACGAAAGAUAAUGGUGGAAAUUUGCAAUUAGCAUCUGACUCCUAACAGCUAUCUUUGUCCCCGGCUUUGACUAGAUGGCUGUCCACUAACCCCUGAUAUUUGUUUUAAGCUGGUGAGGGCAUCCUGAGCAUGGCUUUUUGUCAUAACGCUUCCAUAUUUAAAGGCCUCCACCAGGGCCCUAACAAGAGACUGAUUGAGAGAUUGGCGGUUGGCGAAGCUAUCCGCUCUCAACAUCUUAUCCACCAUACCAAUGGCCUUUUCCUGAAGCUCCCCUGGCCGCGAUUCUGUGAAGAGAACCACGACUGCAUUAGCCAUGCCAAGGCUUUCAAGCUCCCCCAUAGCACGCUUUAAACCGGCGGGGUUCUCCUGCAACAAGGUUGAAAGUGCUUCUAAUGCAGCAACUUGGACAGUCGUAUCUCUGUCUGAGAGUGCAUCAACCAAAGGCUUGAUGCAAUUGCUCUUGAGUAGACAAAGUUGGCUACCUUCUUCGCAUGGGGUGGCAUGAAUAGGACACAAAGAGUGUGCUGGAAGGGCCCUAGUACAUAUGAAGAAGGAAGAGCAGAAUCCUUGGGGAGGACUCGGGUCAAAGUCACCAGCAGCAGCGAGGGACAUUCCAGAUUCUGACAAGUAUUUCAAACCCAGGGCAGCUAGUUGUUUCAUCCUCACUGUUGAUGCGAAAACCAGUUGGUCACGGAAAAUGGUCAUAACUUGAUGCUCUUUGACUACACCAAGACAUUGUGGAUCAGAGCUCCUACAGAAGUGCAGUAAUAAGCCAAGGAGUCCUCCUGCCAUGGUGGAAUUGGACCUCGAACUUCUUCCAUUUGUACUGCAAUGCUGGCCCUUUAAAGUGGAAACGAUCCACUUAAUGAAACCAGUUCCUAACAUAGUUUUCACUUCAUUUUCUGAGAGGCUAAGAUUGGCAAGAAUGCAGGCAGCAUCAGAUCGCUCACCAUCUCUGGAUUGACUGUCAAGUACCUUGUCUUUGAGCAUGACAAACUUGUUGGAAGUUCUAAGUGCACUGGCAAGCUCUUCACCAAACCUCUCAGAGAGGACCCUUGUAAGCCUCAAAGCAUAAUUCCGGUGUUCAAUUUCUGGGCGCUCAAGAAAUGUGAUAAUUGUUUUGAUACCAUCUCCAGAUCUUAUGAGAGUAGUGACAGAUUCUGCAGAAAAGACAGUAACACCCAAUUGUCAUUAGUGACGCAGGAGUGUCAUUAGCCCAGGAUGCUCUGAGGAUGAGUUCUGUUUCACCAUUAAGCAAGUUCUAGAAAACUAGUUGUGUUAGUUAAUGAAAACAUCAUUUAAGGCUAUUUUUCUUACACUAAUACAGGAAGGGUGUACUAAUAUCCAACUGCUUCCAAGCAUCUCGGAAAGUUUGGAUCAGAUUGUUUUCAAACCCCAUAAUAUUGCUGUAUUCCAGUUACUAGGGAUUACAUUUUAAUUCUUUCUUUUUGAUUUCAUGUAAAGCAUUAAUUUCUCUUUCCUCUAAUCCAACUCCAAAGGGAAUGGUAACUUAUUUUUUCUGCAAAAGAGUGUAAAGGUUAUAUUGAUAUGACAAAAGUUACCUGAUGCUUGGGGUGAGGAUGCAAUACGAUAUAGAAUUUGGAGAACAGAUAGUUGGCAUGGAGGUGAUGCAAGUAAAAGAAGCCCCAGAAAACUAGAAAUAAUUGAUUCUGACUGCAGUGGAUGCCCUGCCUUGUCAGCAGAAGCUAAUUCCCAAUGUCCAGGGCUCAUCACAAUAUUUGCAAUAAUCGAUGCAGCUAAUGCCUUCAAUGCUAAGGAUACAACUUGAUUCUCAAAAAGAAUUUCUGUUAGAGCUGGAAGCACCGCAGAAUCAGUAAGGAUUGUAGCAUUUUCAGCAAAGCAUGAAAUGUUAUACAAAGCUUGCAGACUUGCUGCUCUUCCAUCCAGGUUUGAUAGCAGUUCAACUAAACUUCUAGCACCCUGACAAGCAAUUUGUUCCUUACUGCUAUUUGUCAAGGUCAUUCUCCCCACUACAGAUGCCAUCUCUAUUUUGACAUCAUCAGGACCUGUUCAAUGGAACAUUGAGAGUCAAUGAAAAAAAGUUUUCCUUCCUUUCGUAUGGAAGUGUUCAUAGGAAUAUAGAGUAUACGUUUCGGAUAUGAUCAUUGGUGUCAAGUAGUUGAACAUAAACAUUAAAGCAUAAGAAACUUAAACAGAAAUAUUAGAAAGAAACCUCUAAUCAUGCCCUUCAUCUAUUCAAUUAUUUUGUUGGAGCCCUGUUCUUAGUUUUAUUUGUAUGAUUUCAAAGCAAAUUCUGUUUUAUUAAGUAAACAGGUAAUUAUGUGAAUAAAUCUUCUGACCUCCGGGUGUACAUGCCAAUGAAUCAUCAGACCUCUGAUGCAUUUUUUUUCCCCAUUUUCUCAAAUUUACAAGAAUACAGUUACAGAAAAAAGUAUAAUGCAUGUCGCAAAACAGUAAUAAAUGGUGAGAAUAUAACUAGUAAGCAUUCACACUGACAAUAUACUUUGGAUCCUUGAUUAUAUUUAAAUUAUUUGUGCUAGAUCACCAGAAGGGAAAAUGAAAGAGUUUCAGGGGCAGGACUGCUUGUAAUGUUGGAUGUGCUGAAACAUCUACAAUAAACAAUUUUUCAAUGUCCGAGUUUCUGGGAAUCUGGACGCCCCAAAGAAAUUUUAGUAACUAUAAAAGCCUGAGAACUAAGCUUUGAAGAUGAAACUUCUCUUAUCUGCAAACAUGUGAAUUAUAUAAUCAAGCAGCCAUAGUUCUUAACCGAGUAUCCUUGUCAAUUUAUCCCUAAUGUUUCAGCACUACAAUAGAAUACGUACCUUCGCAUAACCGUUUCAUUAAAGGUUCAAAUCUUCCAGCCACUGCUAAAUGCUCAACAUUCUGCUCCACCUUCUCUAUGCGCUUCAGGACCUCCUCAGCUAAAUGAGAUAAAGAACGAUUUUCCAGAUUAUCUGCCAUACAUGAAAGAAGAACUAACGCCCCCUUUUCUGAAGCAAUUUUGAUGCAGAAAUCUUCAUCACUUGAGAAGUCAAGUAAUAGCCUCACUGCAAAUUCUCUCUCUUUCUCUGAGCUCCCAAUCAGACCAUGUAUAGCCGACCUAGUAAUCCCCUCUGCAAGCAUUAUCACCUGGAAAAUGGUGUGAAGAGGAAGAACACAAAGGGUCGUAAUGUCAAGAUAGUGCACAAGAUUUCAUAUAUUACUAAUUUUAGAAGCUAUAUUUUACUAUACUUUCACAGCUAAACAAAAGGAAUAAAGAAUUUUCACAUGGUUCCAUAACAUGCAUCAAUGAACUUCAUUGAACAUUGGUCAGCUAAACGACUAUUAAAGACCAAUUGAGAGACUUUGCAACAUAUUCUUUGACACCCUAAUACCCAAUCCUUAGAGUAAAAAGGAAUAAAUUGACAAGAUAAAAAAAAAAUGGCAAGAUCAAUGUGAACCUGUUCUCUUCAUUAAGGAGACGAAAGCCUCUCCCUCACACUUUCUUCCUUCAUAUGAUCAAGCUGACUUGCCAAAGGUUGACAAAGAAGACUACUUCACAAAAUGAGUGCUCACAUCAAGUGUACAAUAGCUGGGAAUCUACCUAGUGCUCACAUCAAGUGCACAAUAGCUGGGAAUCUACCUUUUUCUUACCAUUAUAUUGACAGGGCCAUAACUUUUUAGUUGUGACAAAGAUUGAAUCCAGCAGUUCAUAGGCUAGCAACUACCCAGACAGCCUUAUACUUCCUUCUGAUAGAUCAUGAAUUCAGACACUUAGAACUUAAAACUACUGCUGAAUGCUGCCAGAGAAACGUAACUUUAGUUUCUCAGGAAGCCUAAAGACAGCGUGUUCAGUUGGGCUACAUCUAUAAAAACAAGAGCAAAAAGCACCAAAGAGAUUAGACUACAUCACCAAUGCCAGCAGUUAUCAGGACGUUUUAUAUUCACAGCACAAGAAAAGUGAAGGUUGCCAUGUUAACUUUUUAGUUGUUAUAGGAGGUUGAACACACUCACCCUGCUUUCUUCAUCCUUGGCCAUGCUAAACAAUACCAUAAGAGCUUUACUUUUUAAAAGUGAUCCAAUAACCUUCGAAGAAUUCCUAAGCAGCUUGAGAAUAAGAACAACAAUGCCUUCAUUUCUGACCCUGUAUCUGCUCAUAGGAUGCUCUUCAGAAAUCUUAUAUAUGCUAUCCAGUGACCUGUCAAUUGAGUCCAUCGAUGAAGAAUCCUCACUGAGAUACUCAACAGCUCUCUUAAUCUGAACCUCAAUAUUCCGGGUGACCCACUCAUCAAUAGCACCAGCUAAUCCAAUGUUAGGCUUGAGCUCCAAUGACUUUAGCACCACCCCAGUAACAGGACAAGUCGGCUCACGACCAUCUUCUAAACAUCUCUCAAACCAAUAAUUAAUAGCAGUUUUCUCAUAUGUCUGAGCCGAUUCCAACACAACAGGACUCUUCAUUAUCUCCUUGGUUAAGGGACAAAGAAAGUUCUUAAAAGGCAAUAAUUGAGCUCCUUCCUCUUCAGAAUUGAAAUCGAACUUCUGGGUUAGAAUAUCCGGCUGAAUUGCCCAAUUUUCGACAAUCUUCGCUAAUGAUGUCAAGAUACGCCUAUCUGAUAUAGAAGAUGAGUUGCCUAUAUCAUUCCUAAGAAGCUUAACCUGAUCAGCUAAUGCCAAGUGGUUAUUAGAGUCUAUCCCCAAAGCUCUAGCUAAAUCCAUUACCAUUGCACCCUGCACUGCUUUGCUGCAUUGCCUUCCUUGCCCUUCCUUUUUCAAAGUGCAAUAAACUCUUUCUUCAUUCUCUGUCACCUACAUAUCACAGGCCAACAGCUAGCGCACAUUAAAACACCCCUCAUUGACACAGAGAUGGACGCACAUAAUAACAAAACUCUAAAAUGCUACUGCAAGAGCGGAAAGAGAGAGGCCAUAAGCACAGAUAAAAAAGCGCGCAUACUACUAUAACAAAACGAAAAAUGGGAAAACACAUAUGCGAACAGACACGCAGACGCACACCCCAAUAAAAAACAUGGAUUAACACCCAAACAACAUUAUAAUAACUGAAACGAUAGCAAUAAUACUAACGACGACUUAGAACAAUUGACAGAAAAAUGGAAAAGACCGGUCCAGAGCGCACGUAAAACACACACAUGCACAAAGGAAACUUAAACCGACUUUUUUUCUUCAGAAACUUAAGAAGAGUGAACAGGAAAGUGGCCAAAAGCACAUACUAUAAAAACACGGGCAGGCAAAAAAGAGAGAGAGAGAGAGCUGGACUAUGUGAUGUCAUAAUAUAUACAAUAAUAAGGUGGAGAUUAAAAAGAAAAUUUACUCUGAAGUGGGCUUGUUUCAUAUCUCUAGAAAGAUCAGCGAUUUUGUUUUGAAGAUCGGGAAUGCCGUCGUCUUGCACGGCGGAGCCGAGGAGCGCUAACCACGCGGCAAUGGCUAACGUGCGCUCCUGGAGAGAGGCGCAGAGCUCCAGACAGUUAAUGAGCACAAAGAUCUUGCUCUUGUGUUUGUACACAGCUAAAGUCUCAGCGACUUGAGUCAAAUCAACGGUGAUACCUUUGAGAGCAGUCAGAACGGAAGGCGGGAGAUUCUCUGGCACCGUUGACCGGAGAAGCUGGUUGACUAGGAAGUGCAUCCUCUUGACGUACCCGGAGAAGCGUCUAGCGUUUUCCCAAGCGUACUGGCGGUCGUCGGAAACGGAGACAUCGGACAAUGCUCGGUGGAUUGCCUCCACGGCGGCGUGUGAGGAGGACGAUGAGGCCAUUUCCAUUUUGGGGGUGCGUCAGACGAAGAGGGUCAAAGUAGGAAGUCAGGCAUGACUGACUACGUGUGUUUUGGAGCAGUACUAGUAGUAAAAAUUGUUGGCUUUGAGUGAGGGUGAGCGGCAGCGGUGAUUGUAAAGAUUUUCCUCAGUUCAAUUGCAAUGCUGGGUGGGAUGGGAAGAGAGAAAGAGUCAAAGGUUUGACUAGUGGAACUACUUUGACACGCGUAUAAAUAUUAAGCAGUGCUACUUUGCUUACUGCCCCUGGCCCCCCCCCCCCCAAUUGAAUUAUAUCAAUUAAUUAAUAGAGGGUAUUAAUAACUUGAUAUGAAAUUCAAGGAACCCUUUCCUUCAAAAAAAAUAAAAUAAAAAUUCAAGGAACCCGGCACCCUAAGAAAAGAAAAUAAUUUCUUGUACAAAGUAAUUCCAUAUUGGAAUAUGGAUUAGAAAUUCCAUAAUCAGGUUUACUACCCAAUUGAUCCAACAUGGCGAAUAGGAGUGGUAUUUCAUUUCAUAACCCCUCUCUUCUCACGUUCCAAGAGAGAGUUGACCGUGCAGCUCCCCACUGGUUACGUUACAAUCUCUGCUGCUUACAAUUAGUACCACCGUGUGUUUUGACACCUUCCCUUCAAUUGGGAUGGUUUUCUGUUUUGACACCGUCAAUUUUUUAUUUCUCGGGUGAAUGAGCACAUCCCUUCCGCGUCUUUGCACUGACUCCAACACAGCCUUUCAUUGGCUGACGGUUCCCUGCCCCACUCCUAAAACCUUUUGUAAAGUACUCUUAUCACACUCCUCCUUCUCUUAUAUUUAUUUAAAACUUGCAACAUAUUUUUAGACCAAUAGCCUCAUCGGUCUGGCACCAUCUUUUGGGAAAGGAUAUAUGGCGGUUUCUUUACAGUGUAGUUCCUAAAACAAAAACGAUUGCUGCCAUGGAAAAUUUUUAAAAGAUGGCAGGCAACGUGCAAACGUUUCCUCGGAAUAAAUGCAGUUCUGUUUUACAGCGUAAUUCAAUCUUUUAUAGAAUAAUCGUCUUUUUUUGGGAACAAUGGGUUAAGAAUCGUUUAGUCCAGCAGCUGUGUGAGCACAAGGUGCUUUUGAAUUUACUCAAAUCCAAUUGAACAAACAACAAGGGAAGCAACCAUACCAAUCACAGAAGGUCGCUUGCUUAAUCAAGCAACCAAUUACGAGUAAAUUUGUUUGUUUUUUUUCCUUCUUUGGCAAAAUACAAAGGGCUUUAUUCCUUCUGCUGUUGCGGAAUCAUUUCUGCAAAACCUUUUAUUUGUCCAGCGAAUACCUGUUCCUGCAACCAAAAACAUGGUCUCCUUUCAAGUGCAUAGCUUGAUUCUGCUAUAGCUGAAUGAAAUAUUUAUUAUUGUAUACAAACCUAAAGCUUGACAAUAUCUAAAAGUGCUCCUCGACGUCUCAUUUUCUGAUUCAGUGUCGUAGUAUUUUUGUUCCGAUUUUUGCCUUGAAUUUUGUAUUCUUAAAUACUUGCAAAAUCACACAUUACUAGUUAGCAGUCAAUUCAGGAGUAUCAAUUCCAUGAUAUAUUUCGCUGCUACGUACACGAGGAUGUCUCUAAUGCGAGAGAGCACAAUCUUCUGGUUACCUUCAUAUCCGACUUAUAUCACGGCCAAAUACAAGGGUCGUUAACCAGUUGAUUGCUACGUAGAAUCUGUUCCUCCAGCUUAUGACACGGGUAAGAUAAGCAGACCGCCAGACAAACCAGCUUCCAAAUCCAGCCACAGAUAAUCCUCUUGCCUCCUGUACAAGGCCUCAAGAAACUGAGCCACCCACCAGAAGCAGUUUAACUGCCACAACAAAGAAAUACACGUACAGAUACAUUGGGUCAUUAACUAACCUUGCUCUGCCUGAGGUCCACAAGGCCUUGUAUCUACCAAUGGUCGCCAUGCUCCCCAAAUGCCUAUAGACAAAUGGAGACCCAAGAUCGAUAUCCAUUGCAGCAUUGGCACGUCCACCACCAGCUUUACCAAUCCUGUUCAGUUCUUGUGCUAGAUAUUUUCCCUGCCGCUCAGCAACCUGGCCAAUGUAUACAUUGCAGAAACAAAUUACUUGAGAUAGUAAAAGUACGUCAAAUUGAUGUAGUGCCAGCCGGUCCACCAAUAUGCAGCCACAAAUCUUCAACCACACAGUGCAACACAAGAACUGGAGAUUUGCUACAUGCAAAUCUGUUGUACUUGCUAAAAAUUCAUGUCAUGAUAGUCAAGAAUUGGCAGUAUUGAUCAACCUUAGCAAGAGGGCACCCUACCUCAUAAAACUUAUUACCAUUGUUGGAACAAACAUUAUGCAAUCAACAGUUAAGGAUUUGUUACAUUGUCCAAAAACUGAACAACUGGAAAAAGAUGUAACCUGGAUGUAUAUAUAUAUAGACACACACACACACACACACACACACACACAUAUAUAUAUAUCAAUAACAACAAAAAACAAUGUCCUCAUUGAACCAAACCUUUGCUAAUUCGCAAGUUCUCUUUCAUAAUUCUUUACUCACAUUCUGUUAGCCUUUUGUUUUUCAUUCAACAAUCUGUCGAGAAAAGAGCAGAAACUAAGCUUGAAAAACAGAAUAUUGGAAUUAUUGAAGCACGAGGAAGGUAGUCUGGGAUACGGAUCUUGGGUUUGGAAAAGUUGACAGAUCCAGUACACCUUUCUAUGGGGAAAUGCAAAACCAGAACAGAUCAUAUCCCAAGCAUGACAAAGUCUAGCUUAGGAGUUCCAUAAUAACUUUUCAAAAUGAAAGGGAAGAAAUGAAAUACAAAAUGAAAUUUCAAACCUAUACCCACUUAACCAUAUAUAACUUAUCAAUUUACUGGAUAGAAAAGAAAGAGUUACCACAAACGUUCUCCAACUAUGUAACAAUUAUAACACUUUUCACACAAAAUUAUCUGCAUUAAGUAUUUUCCUUAACUUACCUGAGCCAGAGCUGGAAGCACAGGCUUGCCUGUUGAUUCAAGAAACCCACAGCAGUCACCAAUAGCAAAAAACAUCCUGCACAGCAGGGACACGAAGCCACUCGUCUACCCCUAUCCUGAAGAUGCACGAACUGUUGUAAUAAGUCUUUCAAGCGCAGAAAAUAAAGAGAAAUUGGAAAUGGAAAAGAAACACAGCCCUGUUGUAACAUCUAGUGAUCAACAAUUUGACUACAUAACAAUCAUGUAAAACUCUUGGAGGCAGUGCAAAAUUACCAUGUGAUGUUCCAAAAUCAAACCUUAGUCAAUUCAAGUUGAUAGAAACCUGGAUGGAUAAACUUGUAAUUCUAUCAUAUGGAAGAAUCCAAAUCUUUUUCUUUCUCUUUUUUUUUUUGGGGGUGGAGGGCGGGGAGCUAAUAUAAGUAUCUAGGAGAAGGAAUAAAUUUUUAUCCAUUUGGAGGCCAAUAACCUUAUCAGAAGCUUAAGCUUUCAAGAAUCUGCAUGUAUAAAAGCAGAAGGUAUCGAAUCCAUGCUGACCUUCCCCCAGGUGAUUUGGGAACAUCCACGGAUUUGACAAAAGGUGAAGGGCCAACGCCAGUAGACCACACCAGCAGACCAUAAGGUACAUCAGUCCCAUCACUAAGAACUAUCUUCUCAGGUUGAACAUCCUUCACAAUUCCACGAACUAGACGAACUCCUGACUGAGAAGCUACUAAAUUAAUAACAAAAAUCACAAACAACACUAUGAGGUCUGACAUGCUUAAUAGAAGUAAAUUAAAAAUACCAAUUGGUAGCCAAGGUAAACAAAAUAAACUACCUUAAUCCCUAGUCACAACAUCUAGGGCCAUACUUUCAUAUGAUUGAAAAACAUAGAAAUAACAAUCGUUAAAUUAACAUCUCUGCACAUAUAUAUGUGCAAAUGGACAUACAAACUCUUACCAGGGUCUCACCUUAAUCAACUGCUUGGUUGCGUAUAUCCGCAGGCGAUCAUCAAAGGAAGACAAAAUCUCAUUUGCCUGGAAAUGAAGAAGCGGUAACUUGUUAUGAUCAAUUAACACUUUGUGCAAAACGAGUAUUAUACAAAUAAGUAAUAAUUGCAAUAGGAAAAUGUCAACGCACAACAAAAAACAAGAAGAAGAAGAAAAAAAAGAAAAGUGAAGGCGCGAUACAGUAUUUUUUUUAUUAGCUUUACCUCAAUCAAAGUAACGCGUAUAUAAUCCUUGACAUGAGCGUAUCUCUGGCGGACAUCCCUCGUGAUAAAAUCACUAAGUUCACCGCUGAACUCAACGCCUGUUGGACCACCACCAACAACUACACAAUGUAGGAGCCUACGUUUCUCUUCAUCACUAACUCCUGCCUCACCGGUACCGUAUCAGCAAAAAGAGUCCAGAAUAAUGCUAGUUCAUUCAAAUGUGAGCAGAAUUUGGGAUAUAAGGCAGCAUAACGGAUACCUGGCACAUCAGAGAGCAUGAGAUUAAGAAGCAAUUUCCUCCGGAUUUCCUGAGCAUGAUGAACCUCGCGUAGAAAAAUGGCAUGUUCUUUAACACCCCUGAUGCCGAAAGUUGACGCUUCUGCUCCAGCUGCAAUCACCAGCUUGUCAUAUGCAAUGGUGAAGUUCCAUGGCUCCAAAGUACCAGCCCCAUCAGUUACUGUUUGGCAAUUCACCUACCCCAGAAAAAGAAAGAGAAAAAGAAAAAAAAAAAAAAAAAGGAGUAAUGACCGCUAAACAGCUAAGGAAACUAUGCUAAAAAAGAAAAAUAUUGCUUUCUUAACACGAAAUUUAUAAGUAUCAGCGAUGAUCAUCAGACCAAAAAUGAGGGAAUAUAUACCAGAUGGUUUUGGAAAUCAACGCCGGUGGAGUUAGCAAGGAAAUAGUACGAACCGGGUUCCCGAGAAAUGGCAGGUUGGAUCCUUCCAAUGGGUUCGGCAACAGACCGGAAUUCCAGAGUGCCGACGCACGUGGAGGCCAGCAAUGGAGUGAAGACCAUGUGAUUCCUGGGGGAGACGCAAACGACGUCGUAAAUGCUGGUAUCGAUAUCUUUAAUGAGUCUGCAUCCGGCCCAUCCCGAGCCCAAAACCACCACCCUCGCCUUCUCAUCCCCCUUUGUGGGCGCAAGCCCAGCAUACGUCGCGGCAACAGUACCAGCUCCACUGCCUUUAUCACUCACCUCCGCCUCCGCCGCCUUCUCUUCGGUGGCGGCGGUGCUGAACUGUAGCAACUGGUGGGCGAAAGCAUAGGAAAGUGACGUAGCAGUAGUGAUGGGUUUGAGCGACGAGUGUGUUCCGAAGGUCGUAGAGGAGGAGAGGGGGAUGAGAUUUCUGAACCAAGGCAUGGCGGUUUAGGGUGGAAGCUGUUGGUUUUAAUAUUUUAUUUGUUUCCUUAUGUAGUAGUAGUGGAAGGCUGGUACUUUUUAUGCUGGAUAAUGGAUUUAAGGGAGGAUUGACGACAUGAACGAAUUGGUGAUUGAGGAUUUAAGAAGGGAAUUGGAAGAUUCUCUGAUUUUUGGCAUCCCCAGUUUUUUGGGGAGAGUUUCUGUGGUUUUGACGGAAAAUGGAUCGAGUACGGUCAUACGAGAAAUUAUUAUCAUUAUUAUUAUUGUCAUUGGCUGCUGCGCUGGGACGACGAGACAGGUGGCGGCCUGAUGGGUCAACAGAUGGCAUGAUGGUGGUGGCUAUUACCUGGUCGAGGAUUCGGUGAAUCAAAAAAUUUCGCGCCCCGCAAGAGAUGGAAAGGUGGUAUGGUGGUCUCUGUCCUUUUCUUUUUUGGUUUUAACAAAAUGGUCUUUGUCAGUUGAUAAUAUUAAAAAAAAAAAAAACAGAUAUUACUUAGAAAAAACUGAAAUAAACAAAGCCUUUUCUUUGGCAAAGUAGUUUGUUUUUUUCGUUUUUGUGCAUAAUUUCUUAUUUUGGUUUUCCAUUUGUUGCUCGAUGAAGUUCAGAAGUUAAUUACUUGAUCUAUAUGUUGUUUUUCCUUCUAAACUAAAAAUUUAAUCUAUUUUUAUGUUACGAGGGAGGAAGGUACCCAACACGAUUUGUAUGGGAUUGGAGGUGAACCUCCAACUGGGCAACAACGAGAAAGGCAAGUAGAAGACGUAAGCAGAGUCGACUUCCUCUUCCCAUUUCCAUCCUUCUCAGUUUUUUUACUCCUCAAGAAGAUGGCCUGGUGUUGUGCAGUGUUUAUAUAUGUAGAAGUCUUAGCGCUGGCGUUGUGCAGUGAGUAUACGCAUGUAUAACAAAGAUCAUGGGCAACCCCCCCCCCCCCCCAAAAAAAAAACCACCAAGGAAAAAAAAAACCAUUUUCAUUUUGGGGUUGGGGAAGAUUGCAGUUGACAUUCGAGCAAAUGGUUUGAGACAUGAUGCGAGAGUAUUGUGGGAGUAUCCGAGCGGCGCAUCUUGGGUCAACGGAUUGCUGUUGCUCACCUAACUAAUUUAAGGUAAGCUGCCGUUUACCAUAAUUCCUUUAGUUGGGUAGCACUCACAAACUUUACGGACUCCAGGAGAUUGAGAAGCACAUGGAAUUAAACUUGUGACUUCCACGCCAACCAGUCCGAGAUAGCAAUUCCCAGUAAAGAAUUCCAAUUCAUAUACUAGUUUUUAUAAUUCCGUUGUCUUCAUCUUGGUACCUUAUUAACACAUUGAAGGCUCCUACAAGUGAAUCAUCACACAUUCAGCUCAUUUUAGUACCUUAAUAAAUAGAUUGAAGCCCAAGUAAGUGGAACAUAAAAAGCGGAAAAUAAAUAUGCAAUUAAACGAGCUUUGAAGGAAACUGAUAAUCAAGUCAUUUGUUACAAGGACAAAAUGCAUUCCCUUGCGACUACCCUAAGAUCAAUUAUAGUAAAUUCCUGUCAAUGCAUUUGAGAGUUGCGUCUUUUUUUUCUUUUUGUCUGUCCGUCUAACGAGUGUCCACUUGUUAAGAUAUAAUUCAUUUGUUAACAUUUUUAAGGAGAAGAAGCUAUCCUGCGUGUUGAUAUUGUCAGUGCAAUAUUUAUCACAUACAAAUCGACAGGUAAGAACUCAUUAACAGCAUCUAGGCGAACACAUAUAUAGUGUAAACUUUGUGUGGCUUUCUACAGACACAAACUGUCGGCAAAAUUAACUUCACAUCCAAAAGUGUUUCUUGUGCUAUAGCCCGAUUGCAAAAAUCAAAAAAGACAAAGAAAAAAAAGUUUGUAGGUUCUGUGACCUUCACUUCUUUUGCCUUUGUUUUUUUUUUCUUUUUAGUCAUAUCUUUUCGUAUAUAAUUAAAGCAUGAGACAUGGUUUCGAUAUUGAAUUCUUGGUUUUCUUAAAUGGGUCUAAAAUUUAUCAUAUAUAUCUAAAAAUUUCUCAUAUCCAAAUCCAAACAAAUUUAAUAUCGUCCACCCUCCACGAAAUGAAGAACACUACUAGCUGGCAAAAUCGAAACUGUUUCGUAAUGGCUCACAACAAUAUUUAUUAAUUUCGGCUGCCACUCACGGUCGCGGGUUCGCUCGUAGUAACGGCCCACUACUCAAAAAUCUUCGCCCCUAUUUAUAAUAACUUAUAAGACAACAUGCUGGUUGUUUCAAAACCAAGAUUCAGCUUAGCUAAUCACAAGGUUUUUGGUUUGACUCUCUAACCUAAUCUCUUUUCUUAUCCCCUCUUGUAUGAUUUGAGUGUCCUCUUGAAUUAAAAAAACGUUUGAUUGUCUAAACAAAAACUAGGAUAUAUAAAGAGUUUGGCUAAUGAGUAUCCAUUAAGAGCACUCAUUACAAGUAGCCUUAAGUGUUUGUUUUUUUUUUUUGUUUUUUUUGCCAAUAAGUGUAAUUAAUUUGAGAAGGUAUCUAAAUGCAUAAGGUGCAAUAUUGUGACUGUAUAUAUUCACAUGGUAAAUAAGCAAACAUCCUUUAGUAAAAUCCUAGCAUGAAUGAUUUGUUUUUAAUUUAAUUGUCACUGAUAACGCCUAGCUAUUCAUAGUAUAAUCUUAUAAAACGAAUAUUAAUUCCUUUAAUUUUAUCCUUAAAUCCCAAGCUUGAUGGGCGUUGGACCCCAAAAAGACAAGUAAAAUAAAAUGUUUCAGCAUGUGUCACACAUAUAGAUAUAAUCAAUACAAUCUAACUCCUCUCGGCCACUAAUUGUGAUAGAAAGGAAUAUGCAUCAGUUGAUCUCUAAAGUUUCAAUUCACAAAGAAGCAAAUGUUGUAGUAUGGAUAAAUUGCAAUCUCCCUCCUCCCUCAAGAAAAUGCCACUUAAUAACAAAGUCUUGAACGUACGUGAAUUUCAUUAAGAAAAAAAAAAAACAUGGAAAGAAAGAAACAGCAUACACAACAAACCCUUCAAUGAAAUGUAAACAGGAAACAGUUGCCUUGACGAAGCCCUCCCUAAGCAUAGGAAGGAAUAUCCAUAACGCAAAAAAAACAAAACAUCAAACGGAGCUCUUUAUUGCACAAUGCAUCAGUUGAUCUAAAGUUACAGUUUUAGACCCCCCCAGGAUUGGAUCAUACUUUUUAGCCGCUCACGUCGUAUGCAGAAAAAGGUACUGAUAGCAAAUUGCCGGACUUGUUUUAUAUAUCAACGUUUCCUGGGCCUCAUUUGCGGUGACCGCGCCUAGGAUCAUGGCCGGUGUUAGCCGAGGGUGCGCUGUAAUCAUCAAGCUUGAUUUUCAGAGACCUUCCUUCCAUCCCGGCAACAAUCGUCUCCUCUUCUGAAACGAGAGAGAGCCCAUUUAUAUUUUCUGUGAAUAUUACGGGUGUUCGUUGAAAUAGUAAAUGCGUGAAUGGAUAAUGAUACUCGAAAAUACCUGAAAUGAAAUGUGUUGUUUAGCGGAGCAAAUAACGAGAAAGGCAAGCAGAAUACAGAAGCAGAUCGACUUCCUCCUCCGAAGCCCAUUCCUCUUUUCAGUUUUUACUCCUAAAGAAGACGGUGUUGUGCAGUGAAUGCCCUUCCUUCUAUAUAGAAAGAGUCUACGACUGUGGGUUCCUGGCCCUUCCUUCUAUAUAGAAAGAGUCUACGACUGUGGGGAUUCCAUAUAUAUAUAUAUAUAUAUAGCGUCAUUUCUGUUCCCCUUUUUUUGUUUAAAAAAAGAAAGUGGGGUUUGGUGGAAAAUUGGAGUACAUUGCAGGUUGCAACCCGUUUGCGAUGUGAAGUUUUCUCGGAGCAUCUGAACCGCUCAUUUUGGUCAACGGAUUGCUUUUUUUUUUUGGGCCAACGGAUUGCUGUUGCUUGCUUGUCUAAUCAAGGUAAACGUAGCUGGUAGCGAUCACAAAGUUUACGGACUCCAUGAGAUUGAGAAAGUAGGAAAUUACUCUGAGAGUGUGUUUGAAUAGUAAACUUAUUUUAAAUAAUUUUUAUUUAUAUCAUAGACAUAAUUUGAAUUAAUUUUUUUGUAUUUCACAUGCAUCAAAUCCUAAAAAAUGCUAUAAUAAUUGUUCUAUAAAUAAUUUGAAAUAAUCUCAUAUUGCAUCCUUCAUGUAGUUUUUGGACAAUAUUUCCCCCCUGAUUUUAGUUUUAUUUUUGCAACACUUUAAUGGCCCCAAAUCCAAUGAGUAGAACACAACAAAGUAUUGGACCGACCCAAAUGAGUGGUUAACAGGGAAGAACCAUCUUCCCGAUGAAAUGAAUUAUGGAGGAAACUAAUAAUACAACAAGUUAAUUGUCACAAACAAACUAUUGGGAUCAAACCAGUAGUUAGGGAAAAAGUCUUUCAGAAUCUUCCCUUCAUCAAUUUAAGGAUUCAAAUUGUGUUCUGACAAUUACAGGUGGGUGAAAGAGUGGGAUAGGGAUGAAAAGGUCUUAUUCCAGACUUAUUCUUCCACUGGGAUUCUCAGCUAUUUCCGUACCUUCCAUUAUUCCCAUGCCAGAGUCGUUUGCAACCUCAGAACCAUUCCACUAGGCAUUUUAUUUUUCAUUUUAUGAUGUGAAAUUCAAUUCAAGAGAUUCAAACAUUGAGGACUCCUUAAUUUGUGUGGACGAGCCAUAUACAUGUCUCAUAUCACAACAACAUCUUUGGAUGCAGCAUGAAAGUAGAGAGAACUAGCAAUCCGACGAAGUUCAGCGUUCGCGUUCAUCACAAAGUCUCCCCGGCCAAAAAGCCAUCCUGCUGCCUGAACUAUGUGGCUUUCUAGAGACAAAAACGGUGGCCAAGUUAACUUCACACUCACUGGUGCUUCUUAAGCUAUAACCCCUUCUGCAAAACCACGUACAUAUACACGUAAGCUGGGCGAAUCUCUACUAGCCACUAUUUACCCCUUUUUUUUUGUAAUAAAAAUUUAUCUGAAUUCGACUCCAACCAUAACCACGCGUUAGAAUAUGUUUUGAGAUCUAAAGUUACUUGCAAAAGAGCGAUCCUUAUUGAGUCCCUUCCACGUACCGGUCAAUUAAGAAAAUAAAUGAACAAGAGUUUUAACCCAGCCACCAAAUCAGUUGGGAUCCUCUAUGUCACUAUUCUCGUGUCAAAUUCAAUGCCAAUCCACUUAUCAUAUGAUGGUAGAAGAAAUUUAAAUAACUAUAUAUAACAGGACACUUGACAUAAAUAUAGAAGUGGCACUGAAUUGUCACUGAAUAAACGCACCAGUCGAUGGCACGUGCAGCGUCUUCACGAACUGACACUUAAAAAUUUACCGGAUAAAAUAAUCCAAAAAAACACACACCAAGAGAACAAUGUCAUUCAUUAGAGGUAUUAAAAUGGAUGACUCCAAUGACUUUGGACAUGUCAUGAUUGGAUAAUGAAUUUAAUUUCAUCAAUUCAUUUAUAUCAAUUUAAAUAAAUGAGUAUCAUAUAAAUAUAUUUAUUUAUUUAUUUAUUUAUUAAAUACAUAUUGAUAUAUCCAAUUACCCAUUUAUGAACUACUUAAAAUUCUACUUAUUUUUUUCUUUUUUUUAGCAUUUUUUUGACAAAAAAAAAUAUUUUGUUAUUAGCAGAUUGAUAAAAAAAUUCAAAUUUAUUUGCUUAACACUCACUAAAAUUGAAUUUAAAUAUAUAUAAUUAUUUUUAAAUAGAUAUACAUGAGUGAAUCGAAUCAACUCGCUACUUUAAUUGACUAUCCGUUUAAAUCCAUUCAAAAUUAACGAGCAAGUUUAAAUGAAUUAUUGGUGAACAAAUUUGGACGAAUCAACAUAAUUAGUUGUGAUGGACACCUCUAAAUGUCACCAAGCAAGAAAACCUUGCGGAGAAGACUUUGGCAAUACAUAUUAGGCCUGGUAAACUCGACUAGCAUCAAAACAUCCGGAAAAGUAGAGUUAUACUCGACGGGUUUUAAGGAGAAGACUAUGGUAAUACAAACUAGGCUUAGUAAACUCGACUAGCAUCAACACAUCCGGAAAAGUACAGUGUACUUAACCAGUGUGCCACGCCUUCGUUAUGGUAACAACUUUGUAUUGUUGUCUUUUGUUUGUCACAUGGCAUCUAAGCAUGCUGUGUAUUCCUCCUUUCAAUCGAAAAAAUUGGUGAAGAAAACAUGACUCCCACCGUCCAGAUACUCGACGGAUCUUACCUGAUCAGAGCAAGUUAUAAAAAGAGGAAAAAGAACUCAGAAAACUGCUUUUAGCCAGCGUCAUGACAAUCAAGCAAAUUCUUCAAGCAAAUAUUACAUUACCAGAAAAAAAGGUCAUCUGGCAUCUUUGCAUAAUCUGACCUGCUGCGAGGGGCACAGGCAUGAAUGUGGAUCUUUUAACAAGAAGAUUAUGGACAUAAACAAGAAAAUGGAAUAUAUUAAUUUUCUGUUUACACCUUCAAAUAACAAGCAAAGAUCAACGCAAAAUGGUGCAUGCCAUGGAAAAAUCCCGCAAAAAAGCGGGUACCACAGGAAUCACUGAAUCAAGCACCCACAGCAGGGAAUAUCCAACCAAAACAUACAUAACAGAAACUAAUAUGCAAACAAUUUUGACAGCUAAAACAGGUUCUUGAAAUACACCUAUCCAUAACAAUAUCAAGUGCAAUAAGUUGUUGAUACACCAUAAGAAACAUCAAACUUAAAAAACCGCUAGCUGUUUAUAAAGUGAACAAACUUCAGAGAAUUACCAGCCAGAAAGGAAGUUCAGCUUUUGCAAGGCCUAGAAAGAGAUUGCAUACUAUAGAGAGAGAAAUUUCAGAUCAUUUACUUCCCACAAAAGUAGAUAUAAAGAUAUGAUUUUGCACUUCUAUCUUACAGUAGUACCACAAUUCCAAUACACCCCCAAUUAGUGAAGCAAUGAUGAACCUAUACCUUCUAUCUUUUCUUGAAGCCAUAUUUCUUGCGCUCAUAAAACAAAUCUGUCUUAGCACUUCCAAGAUUAACGAUUUUAGGACACCCAUCCCGAUCUUUCUCUUGUUGGGUACACUCUUUACAGUAGUAGGCAUCAGAGAUUCCCACUCCUCCACAGAUGACACAGCGACCCUGAAAUGAUCCGUAGUUGCACUCAUCACAAACUCGGACCAGCGUGCAAGGGCGCACAUAAGAAUCACAGACUACACACUUUCCGUCACAUUUUUCACAAAGCCGUCCAAUGGCUAUCCCCGGCUGCUUCCUGCACAUAAUCAAAUCAGGAUGAUGCUUGGCCAUGUUUUCAACAGAUAAAUCCCAGAUCCCAAAUCCAAUUAGUAACCUGCAAAAUGGACAGACUCAAGGGUAAGUUACUAAAAUUGGUAAACAACAUUUAAGACCGAAAAGUUGAAAGACUUCACCAGAGUUUCAUAUUAAACGAUUUCGCAGGAUCAAUUUAGUGCAAUAGAGAAUCUCUAUUUCAUUGAGAUCAUUUAUCAUUUUAUAAAGUUAUAAAGUGCCACAAGCCCCUCCAACUAGCAAGCAUCAAAUGAAAGCUGAAAAAGAUAGUCAGCAUCAUAUGCAGAUACCAGUCAUAAACAUGAUCAGCCAAUAUUCUACCUUGCCCUUGCCACAUGAUCCCAAACACUUGGUCAAUUUUGAUCCACAUACAAUGUGUAGGUAAAAAGACGAUACAAGAGCUGCUGAAAACCAGUGCUCAUAAUAACAAGUGCACAAAACCUUCAGAGUAGCUAUGUUAUGCACAGAAUCACAUAUUAAGACAAACUUUCAGCACUGGAUAUGUUAUGCACAGAGUAAAACAGAUCAACAAUAAAAAGAGCACGCUAUUCCUGAAAACUUUAAUCUGUAAACUAUAACGACUGUCCUUAACCACUUUACACCUGUAUUUUCGCCAAGGGAACUACAAGAGAUGGAUCAUACAGACCUUAAUUUUAUAUUGUAUAUGCCCGAAUUCAUCAAAAACCUUUUAGCAAUUAAAUCAAAACUUUCCACAUAGCAUAGGCAAGUUUGCCACAAAAUGCACUACAGGACUGUUCAAUGCCGUCCAUAUUCUGGUAAAAGAUUAUAAGGAAAUAAAUGCAUCUUUUGCCUAUUGUUUUUUUAACCAGAAACGAACACACGCUCCAACCUAGAAAUUGUUUUACAACAUACAAGCCUUGAUACUAAUAUUUUGACAAAGAACCAUAACUAUUAGGGCUUAAAAGUGGCCUGGAAACUAGGCCAUUCCAUCAGAAAUAGUGGACAUAAUUAAUUCACCCAAUCAUUUUGGUUGGUAAUGCUUUCAGCAAGUGACUGUGAUAACCAGUUUGAAACCAAAUAUCAUUACCAAAGGUAAAACACACCAGGUAACAUUAACUUGUUCCCCUUUACAUCAUAAUCGAAUUUUAAGGCAUUAGACCACAAAAUCAGAACCUGGAUUCACGAUAGACAUUAGCUAAAACAAUAAGACUAACAUAUUUUCAUAAAUUAUUAAACACAGAGAAUUCUACAGACAAGAAAUGGACAACGAUAAGAUUUUGAAAAGUACUAACCUCGUCCCAGCAAGAAUGCUAUGGAGAGUUUCCGACGGAAAAGGCACGCCUCCGUCAGCAAGUCCCGAAUUAUCUAUCAGCUGGAAGAUUGAGGAAGGCAGCUGCUAAUCUGUCAAGGUGCGUGAACACAGAGGCCCGACUAUAGAAUACGCAAUGGAAUGGAUAGUAACUUGAACCGUAUCCGAAAAACAAAAGUCUAGGUUAGGCUCCGCCUCCUGAUUCCUAAACUGUGAAUCAGGUCGGAUGUUUUGACCCGUAAACUCAACCGACAGAAGAGCCCAUAACAGAUUAGAAACUGGGCUUUAUUUCUUUCUUUCUAUGAAAGAGAUUCAUAAUUAAAUAUUUACUAGGCUUUAGAGUUUAGACUUCGGUGACAUUUGCAUUCUAUGUAUACAUAAAAAUAAAAAAUAAAAAAAGUUUAUCCAUGAACCGCUGGGCUGGAAACAAUAAUAUAUUUCGCUAGUGGUAGCAUUUUAGAGGGGCUCCAAAUUCCUUACCAUUCUCGACUCUGACCCCAAAAGAAAAAAAGAAAAUAUAAAUUACCUUAUACUUUAACAUUUUACAUUCGAUCUCCCUACUGUUCAAUAAUAUUCACUUAAGUAUCUUUUUUUUUCCCGAUACAAAGAUUCUAUUCUAUACGUACUCAUACUCUAUAUUAGGGAAGAGGGAUUUAAAGAGGUUAAAGAAAAUUUGGUGAACCACCACAGGUCCAAACGAGUAUGCGGUGAACUAACAGAGGACCUAAAGAGGUCAAGAAGAAUCCAGUGAACCACCAUCGAUUCCGAAGAGAUAAAAAAAAAUCCGAUAAAUCAUCACUAGUUCAAACAGGUGUGCGAUGAACCAUCACCAAAAAGUCUGGAUAAUAAAAUACAGGUUAAGAGAUUUGACUUACGCCUAAAGAGAAUUUUAAAACUCUGUUAAUAGCCAAUAAUUUUAGGAGUAGUUAGUUAAUUACUUUUGUUUGAUUGAUGUAUAAUUGCUCCUAGUGUAAGUUGUAUAAGUUUGGCACUUCAAAAUUGCAGUCCAAUUAAUUUUGAAUUGCUAGUCUGCCCAUUUUAAAGUAGUAGUUGUACGAAAAAGUAGUCGAGAUUUGUAAAAAAGGGUUCCAUGCAAGGAAGUUGCUAACUUGGCUCAUAGGCCUAGGAGCCAACAUCCGGACACGGAUUCCCCUCCAUUAUAUGGACGUUAGAAAAAGGGUUCUUUUUUUUUUUUUUUGGAGAGAGGGGGGGGGGUGCAGGGGUUUAGUGUUUGGCAGAUUUAGCCAAAACCCAAUUGCCCAACUGGUCAAUCUAUCUUUAGACCGCGCCAAUAAUUUCACAGCUCAAUUACUCAUCACAUUAAUAAAUCAGAUCCAUCAUCCAAAAACGGUGGAUGGUAUAUUUGGUUGCACUCCAACCAAAUCUUGACCGUCAAACAAUCCAAUUCAACUCUAACUAGAAAUCUUCUCAAACCAACCGAGUCGCAAGAAUAGGCAACAAAAUAAAUAGGCAGCAGCCGUUUCUGAAUCUGAUGACUUCAGCACGCUCCGCUUCCUCAAUUGCCAUUGGAGUCGGUCAAUUCGGAUCUACUGUAUGUGUAUCUUCCCCACUACUGGCCCCACAAACCUUUCCUAUUGGUUUCUUGAAUCUUGACUGUUGGGAGCUUUAUCCUCAGAAAUUUUUCUCCCCAAAAAAUAAUAAAAGCAACCCUGAUAUAUAUAUAUUUAUUGAUAUACAAAAUCAAAGGUAAAUUGGACUUUACAAAUACAAUAUACCACUCCAUCGCCAACUGUCCUCUUUGCACAGGAGCUCCUCUGCGUUGGCAAGUGGCAAUCCGCGACGGGAAGCUCUCCUCCUCCACCGUCCAUUUCCACUUCCACACAUCUCUUCUGUUCUGUGGCGAAGAUCUCUAUCCUCGUAACGACUCCCCGCGAAUCCUGAAACUUGUGAUUCAUGUCUCUAUCUUUCCCCGGUUUACGAGUUUCUACGCGGUACGUACUAGUGUACUGGUGAUGUGCUUGGUCACACUUACAAUGGGACCACGACAGUUGUGUCAAAGAUCCACGAAUAAUUAGGGGCGGCCCCUUCCGCUUCUUCAACUUUGUGGCUUGGAAGUGGAGUUAGAGAGAGAAAAAAAAAAAAAAGGACCCAAAUUUCCUUGUCUAAAUCAAAGCAUAUCGUACUACUUUAUUUUCCUUGAUGAAUUUUAAAAAUAAAGUAGGGCAAGUGAGUAAAAGUGAGUUGAGGUUGUUUUUAAGUGGUUUUAACUUUCAUUUUCCAUACUCAUUGGUUUGAUGAUGACAUAAUCCAACCCGACUCACUAAUUAAUCGUACGUGAACUAUUUAUUGCAGAAUUUCAGUUUCCAAAAGUAACUUGCUUCAUGCACCAAACUUUUUUUUAGAUAGGAAGGGAUUCAUGCACCAAACCUGAGUUUGAGUUUUAUCUUUGCCCAAAGCUGUCAAUAAUAGCUUACCACAUAUAGGGGUGCUGUCGAGUCGAGUCGAGCUCUACUCGAGCUCGACUCGAGACAAAAUAACUAAGCUCGAGCUCGAGCUCAUCAAGCUUUUAAAAUUGGAGCUCGAGCUCUAAUUCGACAUCGAUUUAUGGAACUCGAGCUCAAGUUUAAUUAAAUGUAAUUAAUUCAAAUCGAGCUCAAUUGAGCUUAUUCGAGCUCAAGUAAUAAAAAUUAAUAUUUUAUAUAUAAUUUUAAAUGAAGGAUAUUAUUAACAUUUCACAAUAAUAAAAAAAAAUAUAUAUUAUAAAAAACUCGAUAGAGCUCGUCGAGCUCUCGAGUAUUAUAUUCCAAGCUCGAGCUCGACUCGAUAGCUCUAACGAGUAGCUCGAGCUCGAGCUUGGUCAACCGAACUCGAGCUGCUGACCAAGUAUCUCGCGAGCUCGAGCCGAGCUAUUUGGUUGAGCUCCAACCCUAACCACAUAUGGGAAGGUAGAAAUUAAACACAUUUUAACAAGUCUUGCAUUCUAAUAUGGGACAGUAACUAGAAAUUAAGUGAUUUUUUUUUUGUAAUUUUUUAUAAAUGAAAGAUUUUAAAUUCAAAACUUUCUACCGACAAUCUCUUCUUUUUUUUUUUACUGUCUAAUCUAAUCUAAUCCUCUGAUUUAGACGCAAAAGUUAUAGUUGCGACUCUCUGUCUAAAAUAACGUGUCAAUAAAACUCUUUUUUUUUUUUGCCCGGAAUAAAAUACUAAUACUACUACGUCAUUAAAACUCACUGAUGAGUACAAAUAAAAAUUUCGUGCCUAAGGAUUGAGGAAUCUAUCAUAGUUUUGCUCGAGAGAUUCUCGAAAACGUCAUGUCUCAGACCGAGUACGACUCCUACCCUCCGUUGUUCCGCCCAAGGAGAAGCCCGACCCUCCCCAGCCCCGAUUCUGACGACUUCUUCAACCAACAAGUUCCAGAUUUCGACCCCGUUCCUGUGAUAGAUUCCGAGUGCAUAAACCAGAAGCAGCUGGAUGAAGCUUGUAGAGAGUGGGGUAUGUUUCGGUUGAUCAACCACGGAUUCCUCUGACCCUUUUGAACAAACUUCAUGACCACGCCAAAAAGCUCUUUUCUCUCGCCUAUGAAUCCAAGCAAGCCUCUUUCACCCCUCCCAUAUCCUACUUUUGGGGCACCCCUGGCCUCACCCCAUCUGGUGUUGUCAUACAAAGAGAUGCUCGUGCCCAGAGCCAGAACUUCAACUGGCUCGAAGGUUUUCAUGUUCUUUUAACUCCAUUAUCCCAGCUUCAAUAUGAAGAUCCUGUGCUCGACUCUUUCAGGUUAGCUGCUUUUUCCCACCAUCAUUCCAAUUAACAGCUUCUUUUCUGCUCUGGUUUGUCACGUUCAAGAUUUUUAUUGUCUUUUACUACUCAGUACACAUUCCACCCGUAGUAUUUGCUUUUCUCUCUCUCUCUCUCUCUCUUUUUUUUGGAACUUGGCCAGAAAUGCUCUCCUGAACCGCUUUUAGAAGGGGAUUGACGAGAAUUAAGAAGCUUGAUUGCGUGAAGAGGACAGGACAGUGACAAUUGAAUUGAAACCACCCUCGUUUUAAAGAUUGAUUAUAUAAUAAUAAACGAAGACUAAUGAAUCAACAGACAAUACUAGAUUCUAAAAAUUUUCAGCCGUAAUAUGUGGACUCCAUCGCCUGUGCUUACUUCUGUAUGUUGGCCAUAGGCAAAUAAAUUCGUAGUGAAAAAAUAAAACAUUUUAGUUUGGUCACUCAGGUUGACGAUGAGAUUUGACAGUUAGAAAUCAAAUCACUGAAGAUAUUUGACUCACUAAAGUUGGUUUUUUUUUUUUUUUUUUUUUUCACGGAGAGUCUUAGAUGAGCGUUAACGUGUGGUGGCCAAGAAUAGUCAGUACGUACUAGAGAGUCAGCAAUUUGAGAAUGGAGCUCCCAGUUUUAAAAUGUCCUCUUUCAUGCAGUAAAUUUUUUUUUUUUAGGUGAAGGAAGUGGAAGAUGUAGCAAAAUUGUAUGGUAGUUAGUUUGUCCACUCCACUAAGUUAGGUUGGCAAGAUGAUUACGAAAACAAGAGAGCUGCGGUUUUGUAGCGAAUCUCUUCACAUUUAUGAUUUAACUUCAAGUGGGGGACUGACUGAAAAGCAGAGGGAACGCGAGCAUCCAAUCAUGUUUUAGUGCUAUCAAUCAAUAAACUGCAUUAACAGAAGCUCGUAUCUGCCCCAUCACGACGUUGUUUCAUUGGGAAGAGUAGCUUUACGACUACAGCUAGCCUUUAAAAGGAACGAGUAGCGCUUUUCAUUUUUUCUUUUUUUUUGAUAGUGAAAAUCUUAAAAAAAGGACCAGGUAGGCUGUGGCAAUUUUUGUAGGUGCUUGCUGGAAGAAUACGGGAGGCACCAGACUAGGCUGGCUACGACAAUUUUCGAGGCUCUGGCAAAGAAUCUCCAAUUGGAUUCUGAACGUACAAGAGCUUAUCUGUCGACAGCAACGGGACACCUACGAGUUCAUCGCUACCAUGCUGCUUCGAGGCAGAGCAGUUGCGAGCAUGGGGCAUAGAUGUCCACACUGACAGUUCUGUGCUUUCCAUUCUGCACGAAGAUGAAGUCGGUGGACUUCAAGUCUGCUCCAAUAAUCAGUGGUUCGACGUCAAGCCUCAAUUCGAUUCCCUGAUUGUGAACCUCGGCGACAUGAUGCAGGUGAUCCAUAAUCCUAUCCUGGCCUAUAUAAAUUGAAUCGAAUGAAUUUACUAGUAGUGAUUUUGUUUGGUCAUCAUUUUCAUCAUCAAUUCUUUCACUCAUCAAACUCCCACCGGUGAUGGUUUUUGUUCUUGUUUUUUUAAUAUAUUUAUAUAUAAAUAUUAUUAGGCCAUGAGCGAUGACAAUUAUAUUGGUGCCAAGCACAGAGUGAAGGUGAACAAGCACAAGGAAAGAAUCUCGGUGGGCUAUUUUGUGCUCCCAUACGAAGACACCGUUAUCGAAAGCUCCAAGUACAAGCCCUUCACUUAUGCUGAUUUUCGAGCUGAAGUGCAACGAGAUUUGAAGACCGUCGGAUUCAAGAUCGGCCUCCAGAAGUUCAAGCUCAGCGAGACGUUUUAGUCUUAGAGCACAUUCUGGAAGUGCCAGUCAAAAUCAAUCUUCUCUGUUCUCUGUUUUUGGUUGGAGACAGGUUGUUGGAUUGGCAUUUUUCGCGAUUCUAGCUACUUCUGUUUUGGUUUCAUUCUCUGUCGUGCUUUUUAGCUCUCGAUGCGGUCUGGAGAAGCUGCGGUUUGGAGAGAAUGUUCUCUUUUCCAAUUUGGUUGGUCAUCAUGGUUAGGUGUCGUAUCUGGCUUCCAAGAGCGGAGGAGGAGGAGAGAAUUUCUUAUCCACUCACUCUCUUAUAAAUUACUAGUAAGUACUAUUAUAUUAUUUCUCCUAUCUUUAACAAAAAAAAUAAUAAUAAUUGCUUUCUCCUCUUUAUUUCCUUCAAAUAAGUAAGCAUCUCUAAUCUUUCUCAUUGCAAGGUCCAUAAAAGUCGCGAUAUGUUAGCACUCUGCCGGCAGACUGAACUUGACAAUUUGGCAUAAUACUUGGAAUGUAAAAGAAAAGGACAAUCAUUGGAUCGGAGAAACCAAUGUUCAAUCAUUAACACAAUAUAAUAAAUAGCUUCAAAAAAAAAAAAUCAUUGACACCAUAUACGUUUGUAAACUCAUCGGGCAACUGAAUUAUGGGAUGCCUUGGCGAAACAGCUGCCGUAGCAAGGGCUAGAUGGGGGACGGACGGGGGAAGGGAAGGAAGCGGAGACGGGCGGAGGAGUAUAAACGGGGCGGCGGAUGGCUACUUUUUUUUUUUUUUUUUUUCUAGUUGCCAAAAAUUUUCGAAAAAAUUAUUGGUGCAAUGCAAACUCAAAAGACUCGUAGAUUUGGAUAUUAACAAGAAGAAAAGGAAAAGGAAUUUUUUUUUUUUUAAAAAAAAAGUAAGAUUAGGGACAAGAGAUUGCAUGUCACAAUUAUUGCUGUGGGUGCUUCAUUAGAAUAUUUUCAUGAUAGUGAUAGAGAUAUGGCGUCUUGGGAUUCUUCGUUACCAUCUUGAUAUGAUAAUAUGAUACGGUAUUUCGAGAUUCCAGAACUCAAAAGGAGAAUUAUUUGCUCCCUCCAGUCUGAUGGCAAUGACCAAAUUUGCUUUACUAUUUUCACGCAUAUGUAUGUAUAUAUUAUUGCUGUUUUGUUCCUAGAAGUAGAAGAAAGGUUGCCAAGGCCAGUUUCAGAAAUAAAUCCGCAUACUGUGCUUUUUAUAUCAAAGAAAGUGACGACAGGGUAGACUGUAGACUUCUGAUAAGGCCGGAAAUUAUACGCAUACUCAAAGUCGUUAUCUACCAUUGACACGCCUUUACUACAAAAGUGUCCCGAGUUUGAAUCACCAAGGCGGUGGUAAUUCGAGUUUCAAUACUGUUGCUCUUCUUUUAAAAAAAAAAAAAACUAAAUGAAAAAAUACAAAGAUUCUAAUUCAAGCCUUAAAGACUGUGAAAUCCGUUUUCCUGCAUGAUAUAUAUACAUACAUAUACAUAUAUUAAAACUUUUAGGAACACUGCUAGUAUUCUCGAUAUCUACUCAAAAGGGAACUAUUAUGUUAUUCUAAUUUGUCAAAACAUAUUUCUCAUUUCCACUAUAUUCGCUUCUAAUUUUUCAAAAACAGGAGAAUCAGUCUUCUAUUGGUGGAAAUGCCGAGCAACGCCAUUUGCAUGUCAUGCUUGAAGGCGGCGUUCCUUUUCUUUUUUUGGGGUUGGAAUCUCUGGUUUUUGAUCUUGUCCGUUAUGCAUUCUUACCGCCAUACGUUAUCAAUUAUUACUUUAAUAAUAAUAAUAAUACCGCAAAUGUGAUUAAGGACCCAUAUCUCAGCUUUCCUUUCUAAUGUAAAACUCCUUAAGAAUACUAGUACUACAUAUUAACUUUCCUUUUUUUUUUUUUGAGUGAAUGGAAAAAAUAUUCACCAAACUACCUAAUAUAGCAUUGUUUGGUCAUUGAACUUUUUUUUUUUCAACUAAAAAUGUCACUCAACUUCUUAAAACAUGUCUUUAGGUUAUAUCUUCCAAUUCAACCUGUAAACCAAUCAUAAAGAAUCGUAUUUGACCUUUUUUAUUUUACGUACAUCACAUCAUAAAAAAUGCUACAGUAAUUAUUUCAAAUAAUAUUCUAUCCAAACAACCCCUUUUAAUUUAUCUCAUGUUGCGUUCCAUGAUUUGCCUUUCCUUUUAUAUGUCUAUCUUUCCUACUCAUGUUCAUCCCUCUCAAUAUUAGAAAUAUUUACAGUAGAAAAUGACAUUUUAGAGUAGAUCGAAUGUAUUGUAUAAUUAAUAAUGCUCCUCUACCAUUCUUGAGGCAAAAAAGAAAAGAAACAAAUGGAAAUUAUGAGGAGUAUCUAACAUUUUCAUUACAGUCAUAUUACUUUUUUUUUUCUCAUUUCCUAGCUAGCAGGUUGUAUACAGCUCUGAUUGAAUAGGUUUUUUUUUUUUUUUAGGGUUUUUAGUUUUUAAAAAUAUUUCACUAUACCAUAUUCAUUUGGUAAUUUUAAAUGCGUAUUAGAGAUAUAAUUUUUUUGAAAACCUACAUGCCCUAGCAAACAGAACCCUGUAAUAUAAAUUUUAAAAACUCAUUAUCCAGAAGUUUUCCAAGUAAAUGGCAAUCCAAACCGAGCUUAUAUAAAUUAUAGUACUCCCUCCGUCCCGUUUUGUUAGUCUUGAUUUUUUUUUCACACAGAUUAAGAAAGUGUAAUUAAUUUGGUUGGAAACAUAAAUUUAGAUUAAUAAUUUCCUAAAAUACCCUUAUGCUAAUCACGAAGAGUGCCAAUUAAUAUCAGUUACAGCUAAUGAGUUAGUAUUGGAAAAGUUCAAUGUAUUCAAUGUAGUGGGUUAGUAUUUAAUAACAAUGUAUUAAUAACAAGAUAUUUAAUAAGGGUAUUUUAGACAAUUUGAAAGAUUGCUACAUUUCUUAAUGAGAAAGUGGACUACAAUUUGGGACAGACGAAAAAGGAAAACAAGACUAUCAAAGUGGGACGGGGGGAGUAGCAUUUUUUUAUGAGCUCUUAGUGAACACUUGUUUAUACACUUAAUUAUAUUUUUUGUAUAUUUAAUUACACAUAACGAACGUUAAAACUUGCAAGUUAAGAGUGCCCACUUAAGAAAAAUUGCUAAACUUUAAAAGAGAGAGAGGAGAGAGAAGCGCCCACGAAUCAAAGUAUUAAUUACUAUACAAUUUUGUGCAAGUGGAAUCGGACGGUCCAACAUUCUCCUGCAACGGUCACACACCUACGUUGAUCACCAUAAACCAUUCUUUUUUAUUUAUAAUAUUAUAUAAUAAUAAAAAUAGUCAUAGUUGUACACUUGGUUUUUCUGUUCUUUCUGUAUUUAAAUCCACUCAAUCCUCCUCACCUCAAGCUGGGACCCACACAAUCACACUUUUUCUAAAAGAUUUCCUUAUGUUAUAAUGCCCCCAAAUUGGAUACAAAUCAAACAAAGACAGAGAAAAAGAAAAAGAAAACACUUUGAUUAAUAGGGAAAAGAGAGAAGAAGGAAAACAGUCAUCUGCUAGACUGGUACUACUUACUUGGUAACCAAGUAUGGAAGAAGAAUAAUUAUCAAUUAUCGAUAAAAAAAUAGAAAAUAAAUAAAAAUAGCUGCCAAAAUCGAGCUUUUUGCGCGCACACACUUGUAUUGUAAACUACAUAAAUACAAGAAUCGGACGCAUUAUAAACUAGUACACUGCCAAGUAUUUCUUUGUAUUUAUGUAGAAGUGUAGAAGAACGAGCCCAAAACCCAAGCCCCACAAUUCCAACUUGCCCACACUAAAACCUGCGCUCUCCUCCAAGCUAAUCAUGGCGGCCCUCAACGAUGAAGCCGCUGCUAAGAAAAAGAGGAAAAGGAUUAACGGGAAAAAGAAGAUUCUCAUCCAUGAUAAAGUUGAGGUAAUGCUGUCAUGUUGUUUUUCUUUUUCUUUUUUUUCGUUGGUUAUCUGAUUGUGCAUCAUUGUUCAUGUGUUUGGGUAAUUUUAUUUAAUUUUUUUAAUGAAAAUUUUGAUUCUCGAAUGUGGGCUCUUGUCUUUUUACAAUUGGGUUUAGGAUGUUUUUGUUGUUUUUCAAUUCUUGAUGACGUUUACAAGAAUUGUCUCUCCGGGGCUUGAUUUUACUGGCAUUGUGUGGUUUUGGGGUAUUCCUGUUUAGUAAGCAUUUGGGAAGGCUAUGUUAAGGCACAGGGACCGGUUGCAUGUUGGCUUUUGUUUGUUGCGAAGUGAUCAUGUGGAUAUUCUGUUAACUGGAGAGCUCUAUGUGAGGUAAUCAAUAAUUUUCUUUCUUGAUUGAGCUUAAUUGCACAUGCAAUGCCUCAUCUUGACUCAAAAUUAAAAAGGGUUAAGAGUUAAGCACCUUUCAUCUAUUUUUCCCUUUUCUUUUUUUAAUAUUAGUUAGAGUAAUGCGCGCUUGUUUUUGUUUUUACCUUUUUUUGUCCCCCUUAGUGUGGGAAGUGAUUGAUUUUCGGUUGCAUGAGUGUCAAAAGUGCCUGCUUUGUUGUAUGGGAGCGUCUUCUGCAAUUUCACUGUCAUCGGGAGUCAGUGGUGUGUUUGACCUCGUAAUUGUGGUGCAGGUAAGGAGUACGGAAGAGGGGUUUCUGGGCUCUUGGCAUGCUGGAACUGUGGUUGGAUGUGGAGAAUUGCGUCGUCGCAUCAAGUAUGAUGAAAUCUUAAAUGAUGAUGGUUCUGAACGUUUGGUUGAAUGGGUAAAGGUGAGUCCUGCGCUGGAUGGGCUUGUUCGUGGGAAUCAAGCGACAAGCAAUUGUUGCCGUGGCAUAUAAGGCCAUUGCCCCCUUUUGAUUUCCAAAAGUGGUCUCUUCAUUAUGGACAGUGUGUCGACGUGUUUGUACAGGAUGCUGGUGGGAAGGUGUGAUUUUUGACCAUGAGGAUGGCUCCGAUCAGCGGAAAGUCUUCUUUCCGGAUAUGGGUGACGAAGUUAAGGCUCAAAUAGAGACGUUCCGCAUCACUCGGGAGUGGGAUGACAUUACUGAUGAAUGGAGACCUCGAGGCAAUUGGUUGCUUCUCGAAUUGAUUGAGGAAGUUGAGCUAGAGUGGCCUCUUCUUGUUUCAGUGAAGCAAAUUUGGUAUGAAAUACGAGUCAAAAUGGAAUUUGGCAAACUUAAGGAAUGGACGUCUUUAAGGGAUAUUUGGAGACAACUGCUGUUGCAAGUUCUAUCCACGAGUUAUAAGCUAACUGUGAAGCAAAUUUUUCAUGAACUAAACUCUUCAGAAACUCGACAGAGGAAGGCCAGCCAUUAUUUGAAUUCCUGCAAAUGCACUUGAUGCAAUUCUUGACCCCGAAAGCAUUUUUUUGACUAUGGCUAUUGUUCCCUAUGGAACUAAUUGCCAGUUGGAAACUCAUGCAGCGUGUCUGCUGAUUUGAACCCUUCCGAAGAGCAAAAUGCUCCCAAUGCUUUGGCUUGUAUCGGCUGGGUAGAAAUGGAUAACUCCACUCAUUCAAUGAAAAGACCAAUGAAUACCCUGUGUUCAGGCUCCUGCUUUUUCAGGGUUACUCCCAACCAGAUCACAGUCCUGAAGCUGGGUCAGGUGCAAAGAGUGGAAGGUGCCCUACGAGCUCCGACAAGCUGAAUGGGAAGCUGAAAGCUUCAGGCGAUAGAACAAAGUACAGUGGCUUCCUGCUGGAAUCGACAUGGUUCCAGCUGCAUGUUGCCCUGGUUCAGUAACUGAUUAUAUUCAGAAGCGUAAGUUGAACUUAAAUCUCGGGCUGCUUCAACGUUGGAAGUUAGGAUGCAUAUUUCAUACUUGGGCUGGAAAAUUCAGUUUGCAAGAGAUAAAGCAGUAACUCGAAUGCGAUACAUCUCCCCGAAGGUGAGAUUCACUAUUCACUCUAUCAGGUUUGUCUGAGAUUGCAACCUGGAUCAGAUGUUCCUUCCGGAUAUGCCAAGAUGAUGAAAGUAACAGUGAUUAUCCUGUAGAAAGCUCGUCUCAUCUUCAUUAACUGUGAUCCCAAAAGCAGACACUGGGGCACUGAAAGUGCUUUCUUGUUCUGAACCUGUUUAUUUUGAACGCGAUAAUUGUCCUGAAGCUGUGCUGAACUAUUCAAAUUGGGAGGGCAACUUAUCAUGGACAGAAUGGUGCAAAGGGUGGUAUUAUGGCUUUAAAGGCUAAAAGGCACCUAUCCUUUCUGGGUUGGAAGUUCUAUCUCGAACCAAAGGGGUUUAAGAAGGAGAUGAGGUAUGGAUCCCCAUGCGGUAAAAAAUUUUACUCUCUUCGAAGUGCCUGCCACUGGUGCGUAACUGAAGGAGAAUUCAUCUUAGUAAUGAUGCUUAUAACAGUAAACAAAUCAAGGAACUUUGCAAGCCAAGAAUGUGGAGUCCAGCUGACUUUGACAGAUCCAUCUCCUCCAUCAAAUGCUAUGGUAUCAGAAGGACAUGUGAAUGAUGAUCUGUCAAAACAGCUGCUAAUAGAGUCAUCUUCAAAAACAUCACAGCCAAAGCAACUUGCUCAACAAGGUCAAGUCAAAUGUCAUGGAAUUAGAGGACCAGAAAGGAAGAGAAACCAUUGCUUGCUACAACAAUCCUUGGCUGCUCUUCACACAGGCCCCCAAAAUGAGGACUCAUAUUUGCUUGAUGAUGUUAAAGAAUCUCAGGCUUCAGCCAAACAAAGAGAUGAUGUGAAUGCAGAAAUGUCUUCCUGUGUGUUGCGAUCAAGUAAAGGGCUCGGCAAUCAGUUGUUUCUCCUUCAAUUCACCAGACUCCUAGGACUACCUUGUCUUGGUUGAUCGAUAAUAAUGUAGUUUUACCAAGAGCAAAAGUGCAUUACCGAGGGAAAAAGGAUGGCCGCGUCAUGAAAGAAGGAAAAAUAACCCGUGAAGGAAUCAAUGCACUUGCUGCCAAAAAGUUUUUACUCUCAGCAAGUUUGAGGCGCAUGCUGGCAGCAAUUAUCAUAGACCUUCAGCAAAUAUAUUUUUGGAGGAUGGUAGGUCAAUAUUUCAGUGCCUGUUGAAACUAAAAGGUGAGACGAAUAAAAGAAAAAUAAGGUCAGAACCUCAUGAAAUGAAGGGUCAUACGUCUUCACAAUGACCAUAUUUGUUCUGUCUGUCACUAUGGUGGCGAAUUGGUCUUAUGUGAUCAGUGUCCAUCAUCCUUUCAUACAAUUUGCCUGGGUUUAAAGGUAUGCUUCUCAAGACCUGUUAUACUUUAUCUCUGUCUUUAUCACCUUAUAGCAAGUACUUGGAAUUGUUAAUAACAUCACUAAGCAGGAGGUUCCGAUGGCGAUUGGUUCUGCCCAUCCUGCUGUUGUGGAAUUUGUGGCCUGAGCCGAUUGAAUGAAGACACAGGACGACCUGUAGAUGACAGGCUUAUCAACUGUGGUCAGUGUGAACAUCAGUGUAAGUUGCUUAUGUCUUAAUUUUAUGUUUGACAAUUAUAAUGCCUCUUCAAUCAUCUUUAUGCUCAUCUGUAUUAGCAAUUAUCUCAACUUUUUACUGAUAAUCUAUCAAUUUAAUGCCAGAUCAUAUAGAGUGCUUAAAAAAGAAGGGUCUUGUUAAGCAUGACUGUCAUCCGGAAAGGAAUUGGUUUUGCAAUGAAAAAUGUGAACAGGUACUUGGACCCUGACUUUCUCUAUACUGCAUUUAUCCUAGGGAUUGUCUAAUAAGGUGGCCCUGGGACACUCAUUAUUUAGAGGCGCAAGUGUCAGUUCUCUGGAGAGAUGAAGUUGGAUCAGGAAAGUUACUAAAAGCAAGGGGUUUUAAAUAAUUAUGAGUGUGCACAUUUUAUGCUUUUCUGGCAUGUGUAUGUGCUUUAAGUACUUACCCUUUCAUCAUGUACAGGAAAUAGAUCAUCCCUGCCAUCCCUUAUGUAGUAUCCCACAACUUAUCUGUCAAGUCUUUGGAGUGUUAAAGAAAAUCUAGCACAAGUGUCUACAUUGGGUGCAUGUUCUCCUCUAUGGUCUAGUCUUGCAAGUUCAAUGUGUUUACAUUUGUCUUUUGUCAUAAUGCACAGAUACAUCUGAGUCUCCACAAUCUCCUAGGAAAACCAAUUCCCGUGGGGCAUGAUAAUCUUACUUGGACAUUGUUAAGUACAAAAAUGCUGAAGAUUCUGAUCAGAGAAGUUUGGAUAAUGAGCAUUUGAUGGAAAGCUAUAGCAAGCUUAAUAUUGCUCUCAGUGUAAUGCAUGAGUGUUUGAACCCAUGAAAGAGCCUCGCACCAAAAGGGAUCUUGUGGAAGAUGUUAUAUUUAGCAGAUGGUAAGAGCCUGUUUCUUUCAAUAUAUAAUUUUUAUAUUUCUGCUUUAUGGUUUUACCCUUCUUUUGGUAUGUAUGUGGGUCUGUGUGCAUGUGUGCGCUUCUACUUCCUUGGGAAUUGGUUUUGCUGGCUAUAGGACUUAUGAUUUUUCUCUUGUACUGUAGGUCAGAGUUGAACCGUUUAAAUUUUCAGGGGUUCUAUACUGUGGUAUUAGAAAGAGAUGAUGACUUGAUUACUGUGGCUACUGUAAGGUAUGAUUACAUUUUUGCUUUAACUUGCAUAUUUUACUUGGCUUGAAUAAUCUUCCUGAAAUUCUGUUUUUCUUUCUUAUUUUAAGGGUCUAUGGGGAGAAAGUUGCUGAGAUCCCCCUUGUUGCCACACGUUUUCAAUAUCGCCGCCUUGGAAUGUGCCGUAUUAUGAUGAAUGAGCUUGAAAAGGUAUCUGUAUUUAACCCACUGGGGAGUUUAACAUCAACGUAAUUGGUUGCUUUUUUGGAAUUUGCUGAAUGGUGGCAUCAUUUGUAUUCUAGAUUGCUUCUCUGUUUAUAAUAUCUGUUUGUCCUCAUGGUUGCCAGAAACUCAUCGAAUUAGGAGUUCAGAGGCUGGUUUUGCCUGCUGUGCCUAGUGUGCUAAGCACUUGGGAAACCUCAUUUGGGUUCUCAAGGAUUACUGAAUCUGAGAGAUUAAACUUUCUGGACUGCACUUUCCUUGAUUUCCAGGGGAGUCACAUGUGCCAAAAACUAUUGAAGAACACCCAGUGUACAGAACUUAGCCAAUUAACAGCAAGCUUGGUGAUCUUGUUAAUUCAACGGGCAGAAAAUUGACUUAAUCACUAAUUUGAUAUCAUUUUUGUAGGAGUGCAGCAAAAGCUGUCCCCUCAUUCUGGUGAAAAAGACAAUGACUUGGAAGCCAGGGGUGCUGCUUCUGAGGUACUUCAAGCAGAGCAAGUUGAGGAUAUUGAAGUGGUGGAUCAAGGAGCUGCAGAGUACGUAGAUUUUCUCUUUUCCUAUGAAUUUGGGUAAUAGUAUAAUUAAUAGCUAAAAUGCAUUUUAGUUAGUGGCAGCUACUCAAAAUACUAGUCCCCAAAAAAAAAAAAAAUUUGCUUUCUUUGAUAUGCUGCUGCAAAUUUGAAGAUCUCUAUCCAUUAAUAACCAAGGAUCUGGCAAGGUGCAUGUUCAGCCUCAGGAGCACGUAGAUGUAAAUUUUGGCAAGACUAGUUGGGCUAUUUCCAAAGUGAAGGGUGCAUGGGAAUUGGGAUGCGUGAAUUGAUUCCAUGUUUCUAAAAUUGUUUAUUCAAUGGAAUACAAUCAGUCCAAGCUAAGUAAAUCUCCAUCAGGUGUCUUCAUUAGUUCAUAUUGCAUAAAAGUGUUUAGUUUUCAAUUUGUCAAAUUCAUAGCUAGAUAUGCACAUUCUAUUUGAAUCUCUUUUGUUUUGCAGUCUUCUGAGAGAAAUUGGCAGCAACAAUAGCAGUGUUGUCACUCCUUCAGUUAUUGUGGUAACUUCUCGUCAUUUAACUUAUCUCUUAAUCUGUCCCUAAUAAGAUUUUCCUGCUUUAGUAAUUGCCUGAUUUAUAUAUGCAAGCAGGUGAACCAACCACCUGAACCAGUGAACCAGCCACCUGAACUUGUGAACCAGCUGGCUGAACCGGUGAACCAAUCGCCUCUCUUUAAUUUCUUGUCAUGCCAGAAUGAAAUUAAUCUGGGGUACUCGGUGGGAGCAAGUGGUCAAAGAAAUCACAUUUUCAAGUGCUACAAACGGAGAAGAUUAGCUACUUGUGGAAGUUAAACUGCCUUCUACGAUAAGAGCAAAUAUAAGUUCAGUUGUCAUAGAGCCAAGAGAAAUCUUGUGAGCCUGUUUUUUGACUCUUGAUGGGCUUCAAAUUUUUGUGUAGAAUGUGCAGUCUCCUCUGUAAAUGGUAAAGUAGAAAGGAGUCGCAAGAACUUCAAGUCUCAGGCUCUUGUUAAUUCAUGUAUAUUCCAGUAGUUCAACUCUGUAGAUCCCUCGAAGCUCAUUUUGGUUCUGGAAGUUAUCAUGGGUAGAAAACUAGAAACUACAAACUAAGCCGAAGAAGCAAUGGAAUACGGCCCUAUUUAUCUCACAUCAUAAAAUGGCAGCUCUCUACAAGAAACGUCCUAAGGCGAUAAGCCUAUAACGUUUCUUUGGUAUCGAAGCAAGUAGAUGUCCCUCAAGUCUUUGCUAACUGGCCAGAGAACUUUCGAUUGUAUAUUUGUGUAGAUCUUUUGAUUUGCUUUUGCAGUUUAAAGCAAGCCUCAGAAACAGAAAAGAUGGAAAAGUCAUGACUGCAAGUGAUAAAAAGAGGCCAUGGAAUUUAGGCCAAUUAAAAUUUUAUCAACUAAUCCAACCUCAACUUCGUGAAGGAGUAUUUGUCGCAAGUUUAGAUUUUUACGACUUCAUCAUCCUGAACCCCCUAAAUCAAAAGUGAAACAACUUUCAAUGAUCCCUGAUCUUAAUAUAUGCUCAUGAAUCUUUAGUUGGUGCUUUUUAUUAAAAUUUGGAAAAGAAUAUUAGACACAGCCGAUUGGAAACCAAUGUCAAUAUGUGCAUCAUUGUUCAAUUUUUUUUUUUUUUGGGGGCAGUCCAAUAUCAAUAUGUGCAUCAUUGUUCGAUUUUUGGGUACAUUCCAAGGAUUCCAUGUUUCACAUUUGAGUGUCUGCACUCUGCAGGCAUCGCCAGAAUGGAAGUGGUUCAUGAUGAAUCAACAUCCAACACUUUUAAUCAGUAUGGUUUGGUGGCCCAAGUAGGAUUAUGCUGCCACCAUGGUCUACAAGGAGAAGCAACGUAAAGUGGUCUUUCCAUUUGUACAGUAGGCAGCAUUGAACGUUUCCCUCGACGGGCAGGCAGGUUUGAUACUCGACUUUUCUUCAUCAUCCAAGUAUUCCAUUAUCUCUUGCUUCCACCGGAGUUCAAGAAAUGGAAGGGAAUCAGUUUUAGAGGCGCGGCUCCCUCCAAAGCACAACACAGCAUACUGCCAGUUGGGAGUAAGGGGUGACCUUUGGUCCUCAACCACUCUUGUCCCUUGGCUUUUUCGGGCUGCUAGCCUCUUGUGUCUGCCCUCUCGUAAAUAAGUGCACUCCUAAGAACGGUGCUCAACUUGUUUGGCCCCAUAAACACGCUGGCUUCGCCUCUCAUAGCAAUUAAGCACUCCCUUUCAAUUUCCCUACUUUCAUUUCAUGGUUGGUUGCCAUUCCUCUUCAAGAAUGUUGCCUACCUAUAUAUGCAGAAGAUGAAUUUUAUUAUCCAAAGGGAAUUAGGAGCACUAAAUAAAAUACUUAAAAACUACAAGCAUGACUGCUCAUGCACUGCUGUGCGGAUCCCACGAUCAACAGAUGCCUGUCACAGGGUCACGGGCCCAGGAAAAGGAAAGCCAUAGGGAUUAUUAGUACAUCCAAAUGAAUUAAUCCCAUAAAAGGAAGCAAUCAAAGCCAGAAAUGUAUAAUCCCAGUUCAUAAGAUCACGAUAGGCGGCUAAUGUCCGUCUUAAAUUAAAAUUAGAGAUGCAUAAUCAGAGUUAAUUGUUCUUUAAAUCGUGUUGUCUGCAAAUGGUCCUCCGGGGUCACUUCUGCAUUAGUGGCAGAAUGCCACUGUUAAUGUUAUGACCAGGGGCACCAAUCACCAGCGAUUAAUCUGCAUAUUUAAAGCACGUGAGCCAUCUUAUCUAUCCAUCACAUGCAGAAUGCAGACUGCUAGCGAACAAAAAUACCACCCAACCCCCGCCCCUUUUUAUAUUGAAACAUUUCUGGAAAACAACACCAGUAAAAAGUACCCCCAACUCCCUCCAAAACUUCCCUCCUCAUUCUCUCCCACUGUUUCUUCACUUCUUCUUUAGUAAGCAGUACUUACAAAGACUUCCUAUCUUUCUAGCUAAAGCUUUCUGCCAUGGCUCUUCUGUACUCAAAAUCUGCUUCAUUUUUGGCUUGUAUCUUCUGCUUCACUACAAUUCUAUGCCUAAACCUGCUGCAAUUUGACAGUGCCUCGGCAGUCUUGUUAGUGGGUUUGAGGAAUCAGCACAGUCACCCUCACCAUAGAAGGCCAAUGCUCCAAGCCAACCAGAGCUCAUGCUCCUUGUUUGUGGGCUCCUGGGUUCGUGAUGAUACUUAUCCUUUUUAUCCAUCUUCUUGUCCCAUCAUCGAUCCUGAAUUCAACUGUCAAGCGUAUGGCCGACCCGACUCUGAUUAUCUCAAAUAUCGUUGGAAACCAGCCAACUGUGAUCCUCCCAGGUACUAACAAUCAUACUUCUAGUUCACUGUGAUUAAAAAAGUUACUGUCUUGAUAAUAUUCUCGUCAUGUUGUAUUACUGUUUCCGAAUUCAUUCCUUGUGUUGUUGGUGUAUUCCCUGAAAUAGAAGUAACCUUUGUUCUAACCGGUGCUAGGUUCAACGGGCUGGAAUUUCUGAUAAAAAUGAAAGGGAAGACUGUGAUGUUUGUGGGCGAUUCACUGGGACGCAACCAAUGGCAAUCUCUAAUUUGCAUGAUUUCAGCUGGGGUCCCAAGUUCCCCAACUCAAUAUCAGAGGGCGACCCUCUGUCAACCUUCAAAUUCUCGGUAAGCCCAUCCAUAAUGGUUCAAAAAAAAUAUCUUCUUUUUUUUUUUUUUCUUUUAUCCAAGCAAUAAUUGCGAUUCAGUUUCUGUUGUGGGGUCUUUGUGAAAGAAACAGAGCUUCGAGACUGGUAACUAAAAUGGGCUCGCUCUGUUUGCAGGAGUAUGGUGUGUCCGUGUCGUUUUACAGAGCACCAUAUUUGGUGGACAUAGAUACGAUGCAAGGCAAGAGAGUGCUGAGAUUGGAUGACAUAAGAGGAAAUGGUAAUGCGUGGAGGGGAGUGGAUGUGCUGUCAUUUAACACAGGUCACUGGUGGUCUCACAGAGGAGCUCUUCAAGGGUCAGAACAUUUGAUACUUAAUAAUUACUAGUGUUUGGAAUUAAUGCCUUUCCCUUUCAAGAAUAAACAAAAUUUGAAUUGGUCUGUUUCUUCUUUCUGCAUUUUUAAGACCAAUAAUAAAUGAGGACGAUAAUGAUGAUGGCUGUUUGCAAUUGGGAAAUGAUUCUGUAUAGGUGGGACUAUAUGGAGUCAGGUGGAAGCUUGUAUCGAGACAUGGAUCGCUUGGCUGCAUUGGAGCAAGGUCUGAGAACGUGGGCCAGAUGGGUUGACGCAAUAUUGAUGCUAGCAGUACCAGGGUCUUCUUUCAGAGUAUCUCGCCUACGCAUUACAAGUAUGUUUUUCCCUUCUUUGUACUAGUAAUUAUUUGUUCGACGACAGCCAGCUUGAUUGCAACAACUCUUUUUCUUAUUAUGGGUACUGAAUUCAAAGGCAAGAGUUAGUAGUGUUAAAAGAGUCCAGACUGCUGUUUCAUUGCCAUCGGGUGCCUCGUGAAUCUGAUAGCUGUAAUCACUAACUGUUACUUUUGCGGUGCAAGUUGGACUUGUAGGAAUUGAAGCUGAAUUAUUGGGCACUGGGACCUUACCGUCCUUUAGGCCUUUUCCAACCUUGACCAAUACUUCAGUCGAAAGUUCCUUUCCCAUGCAUCUGUCAAAGUCUUAACCGUUGGGCCAAAGUUUAAAGUUAAAUUGUAGUAAUGAUUUAAGUUCACCUAAUGAAGUCUGUGGUAAAUUAACUUGUGCUUUAGUCUAAUAGUAGAAUACAGUCCUUGACAUCAAAAGACUGUAACCAUGUCAUUUUUAGCUUUUGAUUGGUCUUGUUUUGCGAAUAUGGAGCUGAAUCAGUAGUGUUUGUAGUUUCACUUUGUAAGUACAUCGAAUCAUCGAUGCUGGCACAUUUCUUGUUAACAAAAAUGUUCACAUGUCUAUGUCGAAAUCCUUGUGGUUGUGAUUCGUGAAGUUGUCGGUUGUCGAUGAUGAAGGGUGGCUUGUUUUUCUGUUCCUUUCCGCCUGUGAGCAAUAGUAGUGGAGCAUGUAAUGUAAUGGUAUUAAAUAUUUAGGCAAAUCCAGCUAUAUGUGAGGUCAUGCCAAUUGCUACUUGCUGCAUUUUUUAUAUAUGUGUAUAUAUAUUUUCCACUCGAGUCACUAAGCUGAAAAAAGGUAAUGUGUAGAACUACUUUUCAGGUGCUUCAUAUGUAAGACCAACCUCACCUUGUUAGUGGCCCUUUUUUGUUUUGUUUUCUUUUUUUUUAACGAAGCUCACAACCCAGAAGCUCACAACCCAAAUCCUUCUAAAUUUAGCAUUGUGGAUGUAUAAAUGCGCUUUUAGGACGAUAUGCCUGAUUUGACUUUCUUUGAGAUCAAUAGAUAUAAUUGAAAAUGCCAGCUGAUUAGAUAUAAGUAAUGUAGCAUACACAAAACACUAAUGAAAGUGUCCCAUGGAAUUAUUCGGUCCUUUUCCGCCGAUACAAUAAAUAGAAAUUGGGACAUACGUUAAUAUAGAUGGAAUUCAGGUGUUAAUAUUUAAGAAAAGUCAAAUUAAGUGGGGAAAUUCUAUGGUGUGAAAUAGGGUAAUGAUUGUCGGUUUGUGCAUUGACAUAAUAGGUUGGGUGUGAUUUGGGCGUACUAGCAAGAACUAGAGCGCUUGUUAGAAAAAACCGCGAAUACUUUUGCAUCCAAAAUUAACAGAAUGAUGUGAAUUUUUUUGCCGAAAAAAUGAUAAUAAUGAAAUCACUGAAUCGGUUGACUGGAUGUGGACAGAAAAUUUCACUCACUGAAAUUGCUGGUGCCACAGUUCAACAAACUGGGUAUAACUUGGCUUGGAAUAGUGCUGUGGAGUGUACUUGAACCACUUUCGUAGGGAAGGAAGCUCUUGGGAAAAUGUGUGUACGUCUUGGGAUGACUUCUUUUUUUCCCAGAUUCUCGUGAAUAGUGGUAAAAUCUGUAAAUUUAGUUCCUUGUCAUGCAGUUAAUUCAAGGUAAUGCAACUAGAUUGGUUGAUACAAGUGUCGUCACUUUCUUCAUAGCUGUUCUUCAUGUGGGUCGCGGUACAUAGAAGAAAAUCUGGUAGCUAGUACUGAUUGUUGAGUAUUUAUGGUGGCAGCCCCAGUGAGUGGAGCACUGGUUCAGCAACAGCAGCCAAGAGUUGUUAUGGUGAAACAUCCCCAAUGACAGGGACAACCUAUCCAGGAACCUACCCGGAUCAAAUGACUGUUAUAAAGACAGUGAUGAGGACAUGAACUACCCUCCAUUUUUGCUUGAUAUUACUUUGCUCUCAGCAAUGAGGAAAGACGCUCACCCUUCCAUUUACAGUGGUGAUCUCACCCCGAGCAGAAAGCCAAUCCUGACCAUUCUGCUGAUUGUAGCCAUUGGUGCCUGCCUGGCUUGCCUGAUACUUGGAAUCAACUAUUCUACACUGCCAUGUUCUUCUAAACUCAUUUUAGGCCUUUCUGUUCUCCCUUUCCGUUCGGAUUUCAUUUUUUUUUUCUUUUUCAGUUGCCUUUCUCUGUAGGUGUUGAUGCAAUAUUAUACCCAGGAAAGCUGAGGCUAAGAAAUCUCCUCUCCUGCUUGUAACAUACAGUGCAUUUAGUUAGGUGGUUGGACUGAAAGGAUAUGACCAUAUAUUUAAUGAUUCUGUAUAUUUAAAAACAAGUCUUACUUCUGCAGCAGAACGAAUGUAGAAAGUGUGUUGAAUUUCAUAUGACUGGCAUGGUAGCCCAAUAUGAAUCUGGAUUAUCCUGGAUGCCGACUUCUUAGUGAUCAUUGCCUGCAUAAAGGAGGCAUUCAUCAUCGAGGAGCCCAUCAUCAAAACACCAAUCCAUCAACGUUUUAGCUUCGUGUGUGAUUGUACUCUUCACGUGGUUGAGCUGCUUUUACAGAGGAUAUGGUGGAUGUUACCCAUCCUUGCAACAUUACUACGUACCAUGAUGGCUUCGGCCUCCAUUUGGAAUAAAGAAAAGGCAGCAGUCCCUCAGGAUGCAUGAAAUGAUUGAAAGAGAGUUGCAAAGGUGAAUGAAACACCAAGAAACAUGAAUAUGACAUACUCCUCCCAUUCGCUCCAAGAAUACUCUAUUUGCUUUUCCUUUUUGUUACAUGUACCUCUUCAUUGCUCUCUGCACUGCUGUUUACUUUUCAGUUAAUUUGAAUGUGCACAGAGGAAGAAGUAAGAUUAGAUGCAGUUGAUAAAUUCAGCGCUGAGAGCCUCAUGAAAGUCAUUCCACAUUCUUUAUAUUCUUUCUACUCUGGCUAUGGAAGCUCCAUCAAUUCAGUGGCCAUUAUACCUUCAGUUCCUGUUUUGAAGUUUGAAAAACACCACCUUAAUCUGCGAUCAACUUUUCAACUUCAUACAUUUCCAAACCCGUUAAUGAGCUGGUUUCUGUAUUCAAAAUUUAACAUUGAACAGAUUUUGUAAAACUGCUUUAUAUGCUCAUUAAAUCUGCAGUGAAUUUAUUUUCACUGUCCAUUCAUCUGCAUAAGGUAAUUUCAAAAUCAAAAGAACAUGAAGAGAGGCUUGUAUUAUUCCAAAGUAGUACUCGUUAGAAAACGAUGAUACUCUUGAAAAAGCACUCGAGCAACAUAAAAAUGUUGUGCCGAAUUCAUUUAUUACUCCUGGAAGGAUGGAGUGAAGUCCAAGUUCGAUAGACUUGAACCAGCCACUAUCUGAGAUACAAUACAAGCAUAAGGAGCUCUUCUUUUCCACGCUUAUAUUUUGCUCCCUCCCCUUUUGUACUAGACCGUACUUUUCAUUUUGAAAUGUCCUAAAAUGCUUGUCAUUUUACUAAGUCAAAGUUAUUUUUUAUCUCUUUUUUCAAUGUUAUUCCCACCUUUAUUUAUAUCUAAUACUAAAUUCAAAUUUAAAAUUUAAAAUUUUGAGGAUAUUUUGAAAAUAAAUCCGCUAACAUCACUAUAAAUUCACUAUUUUUAAAAAGUUAAAAUUUCGAAAUCCUUCGUAGGGAGUACUACUUUCUCUAGCCUCAUUAGGUUGAGUUGUGCGGGAGGGGGAGGAGGGAGUUGCACACUACUUUCCUGCGUUUGAAUGUCUACAAUAAUGUAGAACAAAGUACAAACAAAAUGGGGAAAAAAAAAAAAAGAAAAGAAAAGUAGAAGUACUUGGUGCGGGUAGCCAAAACAGAAGAAAUAGAUUACAAAACAUUAGGUUACAACACAAAACUUGCUGCUUGAACCAUCGCACCACAGCUCCGUGCACAACUUAAAAGCUAUCCCCUAAACUGUUGCGCCACAGUACUGUAUCAAGAUUUUCAUAGUGCCAAAUGGCUUUAUUCAACUUUACAAUCCUAAUAGUAAUAGUAACUUCUUUCAUACAGCAGGGCACUAAAAACUCAUCCUGCAUAUUCUAACACGACCACAAACAAGCAGUUAUAUUCUUAUUCAAAGUGUUAGCUCUGGAUUGUGAGCUCCUUUGCGGGUAUUCCAACCAUGCGUGGAACGUCGUCAAUCAUCGUAGGUGCCAAAUUUCCAUU
This 49820-nucleotide long non-coding RNA is filed under the name Coffea arabica (coffee). Its description in RNAcentral is "long non-coding RNA (CARA_LNC000348)". The record is from RNAcentral. Lineage: Eukaryota; Viridiplantae; Streptophyta; Magnoliopsida; Gentianales; Rubiaceae.